This 56012-nucleotide long non-coding RNA is filed under the name Gossypium barbadense (sea-island cotton). Its description in RNAcentral is "long non-coding RNA (GBAR_LNC014012)". The record is from RNAcentral. Lineage: Eukaryota; Viridiplantae; Streptophyta; Magnoliopsida; Malvales; Malvaceae.
UGGUGAUGGUGGUGGUGGUGGGGACUUGUACUUGUAAGGAUGCUUGGGUGGUGAUGGUGGUGGAGGUGGAGGAGACUUGUACUUGUAAGGAUGCUUGGGUGGUGAUGGUGGAGGAGGUGGUGGAGACUUAUAGUUGUAAACAGGAGUUGGUGGGGGAGGAGAUUUGUACUUGUAAGGCUUCUUGUGUGGUGGUGGUGGUGGAGAGUAGACCGGAGGAGGCGGUGGUGGAGACUUGUAAUGGUAAGGUGGUGGUGGGUACUUCUUAGGUGGUGGUGGAGGAGAAGAAUAAGUGUAAUCUGCUGAGGUUUCAAAAGGCAAAUUGAGAGACACUGCUAAAACUAAAAGAGUGAGAAAGAGAGAGGUCAUUGAUGACCCCAUUUUCCCCAUCCUUACUUCUAAAAAUGGGUUUAAUUUGGUUAUGCUCUUAGCAGCCCUCUUCACUCCCUUUAUAUAGACUUUGUUUUAAAGUUACAAUCAUGAUAAAAGUGUGAAGGUGGACCGAACCUUCAGCAGCAUUGAAAAAAGACGUUACGUUUAGGUUAUUAGCAUGGUAUGACAUAAUAAUUCUCUAUUCUCUUCCUUGUCGUUUCCCAUAAAUUUAAUUUAAAUAGUCCAUUUGCUAUAUUUAUAUUUCUGUUUCUCUAUUAAAUAUUUAUCAAAUUCAUUUCUCACUCCUUAUAGAAUAUGAAUAAUUAAUCAUUAAACUCGAUUUAGUAAAUACUUUAAAAAAUGAUUUAUCUUAUUUUUAUGCUUUAAUUAAGGCAUCAAAUCAUUAAUCCCAUUUGAUAUUAUGAAAAUUUAUCACUUAAUUGAUCAAAAUGUGAUUCUUGGCAGGAAAACAUAAUUUACUUUCCUUAAAAUGUAAUUUUUAUUGAGAGUUAUUUUUCCACUAACAAUAGAAAGUGAUUCUCUUUAUAAUUCGUGAAAAAAUUACUUUCACAUGUAAAUAAAAAUUGUUAGGAUAAAAUUAACUUUUCUUUUAUUUAUGUUAAGGUUACUAAUUAACUUAUUCAACUUUAAUAAAAGAUAAACAUAGUUGUAGCUUGUUUGUUGAUGUUAGUUUUUUGUCUUUACAACUUCAAACCAUUAUUCUAGUGUAAUUUUUUUUUCUUUCUAAAUAGUAGAUAAGUAUCUAUAUUUUAUUUUGCUAUAAGAAAAUUAUAUUUUUUAGCAUACAAAACUUAAGAUAACUUGUAGAAUCAAGUAGUUGUAUACCUAUUACUCUAGCAAUAAUAAUAUUGACAUUGUCUACUUUCAAAUUAAAAUUUCAAAUUAGUUCAUUGCCCAAUUUUCUCAUUAAAAAAAAUUAUAUAUAACAUGUCAACUUAACGAAACUUACAUGAAAUUUUGUAUGUGUUAAAAAUGAAAAAUAUGGCGGUUAUUAAAAAAGAUGUCAUACAUCUAAAUCAAACUACUAAUUUAAAAAUUAGUAUUGAGAUAAUUUCAAGCCAUAUAUGCAAUAUUUGAGUAUACUUGAACUUAUACAUACAAAUUAGUGAGGAUUAAAAUUUUGUAAAUUGUACAUCUUCACAAUCUUGCGUUAAUAUACAAUUUUUUUAAUGUAUUAAUAUAAUGUUUUAGAUCAAGACGUGAAAAAACAUAAUUCAAAUAUUUGUUAAUAGUAAAAAAUUAUUAAUAAAUAUUUAAUUCAAAAUUUAUUAAUAAUAAAAAUUAUUGAAAAAUAUUAAAUACGUUAAUAUUAUUUUUAUUUAAUAAUGAUACUUUUGUACAGUAAUCUUAUAUUCCCAAAUAAGUGUUAAAUGUGUCAAGAUUUUAAUCAAUACUUUCCGGUGAUUACCAAACGUUGUGAAGUAACUUCUUAAACAAUAAUAUUCUUAUCAAUCACAUUCCAUUAAAAUUUUAACAUAGAAAAGCACCAAAACGCCCCCUUAAAAUCGUGGUAAGUCUUGUUUGUCUAAAAUUUAAAUAUUUAUUUUAUUAUUUAAAAUAUAUUAAUUUUCUAAAAAAAAUCAUUAAUAUUUAUAUUUCUAAUUUUAAACAUUCUUUUGUUAAUUAAAUGAUAGUCUAAACGGUUAAACUCAAAUCGAAAGCAUUUUAUCUUAUAUUAGAUUAUAUGAAUCAUAUUAUGGUUGAAAGUAAAAUGUAUAAAAUCAAUACAAACAUCAAAUAUUAAACUUCCACUCAAUAGAUUUUAAAAUUUCUAAUUUUAUCACUAAUCUAUUUUAAGAUUUUUUUAAAAAAAAUCGUACUUUAGAUUAUCUAAUUUAAAAUUUUAUAAAAUUAUUAAAAAAUAUUCUUGUAAUAAAAAAAAUUUGUUUUAAAAUUUUUAAUUUUUUAUAUAACCAAUGAAUUUUUUACGUUUGUUUUAACUGGUUAUCUAAACAAAAUAAAAACUUAUUUAGUUUAAAUAAAGUGGUAAAUGUGAAAGCACCACAAAUCACAACUACAUUAGUUUUAUAAUUGGAUUAAUUUAAUCACCGGCAGAGGAAAUGUGUUAGUUCUAGCUACCAACAAUUCAUUUUAAUUCCUUUAAAAAUAUUAGAAAAAACCAAUUUGAUUUUUAAUAAUAGAUCUAAUUACUUAAAGGAACAUGGGUGAUGUGCACAUGGCAUACAAGCAUAAAAAAGAACAAAAAGAUUAAGUAUCUUUGCAAAAUAUCUCUCUCUGAAAUAAAUAAAACUUAAAAAAAAACAAUUUUAUUAUCAAAAUAAAAAGAAAAUAGUGUUUUUCUUCACAAAAAAAGAAAAGAAAAGAAAUACUAGUGUUUUUAAUUAAAAUAGAGUGAUCUGGGUAGAAUCUUUUACUUAAAUACUGACAUUGACUUUAUAAGCUAUUUUUUAUCAAAAGAAGAAAGAGAAAAGCAUCCGAUUGAAGAUGUGAAUUAUUAAGUUAAAAUUAAUCAUACAUGUAAAAUAUUAUUGUGCUUUUUUCUAGCCCUCCGAAAGACAUUAUGCUUUGAUUACAACAUUCUUCCUCAGAGAUGAGGUUUGAAGAUGAACUCGGAUGCAUUUAGAUUUUUACAAGACGAAAGUAAAUUAAAGGAUGUUAGUACUUGUAUUCCGAUACGCUUAUAAUACAGAAAGCAAGUAAUAUGUGACUGUACAUAAUGGCUAUGAGGCGAGGAUAUGAUACGAGAAGAUAGAGAUGAGAGAUUGCACUUAAGGGGUUAGCACCUCUUUUCUUUUUGUGUUUGGUCCCCAAAGCAUAUCUCUUAUUGGCUGAUGUUGCAAGGCGGUCCCAUAAGUUGGGCUAAAAGUGCUUGAUAGCUAGAAUUAAUAUUGUGGUAUAACAUAUGUCACCCCUAUAUUUGAAUAAGGUUACAAAGUGACUACUUGAAGAUUUAAAAAAGCAUGGAGAUAAUUUUGUUGCGAAAAUUAAAAGUAAGAGCUAAAUUGUUUGGCUUUAUUAGAGUAUAGACUCUGUUAGUCUAUUAUCAUUUUGUUAUAUAGGCUGGAAUAUUAUUAGUAAGCAGUUAGCAGCAGUUAGUCAUACAAGUAUAAAUUCUAUUCAUGUAUUGUUCAAAGAUAAGCUAAUAAUACCAGAAGAGAUUUAACAUGUUCAUUCUACUUUUUUUUGUUAUUCUUCAUAAUACAGUUGUUAACAUGGUCUCAGUCGCCAAAUUUCUUGGAGGUUGCUUCUAUUGUAGAUCCAUGGCCAAUUCCACUGAUUCUACCUUCGCUGGUCGUAGCAGUCCCUCAUUCUCAGUUCAUGUUUGGUUCAAUCGUUUCCUCGUCAUGGCACUGUGAAGUUAGAUGAAGGAAAUUUUGUACAAUGGCAACAGCAUAUCCAAUUGAUAAUUGAAGGAUAUGAACUCAUAAGAUUUUUAGAAGGGACGUUACCUGCUCCGCCUCGCUUUGUGUCAUCUCCGGAUGGAAACUUAGCUCUGACUCCCGAUGCAUCCCUGUUUGUUCAGCAAGAUAAGUUACUCGCUUAUUGGUUACUUUUUACGAUUAGUGCUCCUUUGUUUUCUUGUUUUACAACUGCUAAGACGGCGUGUGAGGUUUGGAGCACUGCGAAUUGCCUAUUUGCUGCUGCCACUAGAGCCAAGCUUUCGCGUAUUAAGCAUGAACUCCAGUCCAUCACGAAAGGCGUGAUGACUAUCAAAGAGUAUAUUGCUAAGAUUCAAAAUACUUGUGCGUUACUCGAGGAAUCUAGAUCAGUGGUUUUAAAGGCUGAAAAGGUAGAGAUCAUUCUUGCCGGCCUAUUGUCUGAUUAUGAUGUCGUUUUAACUCUGGCAUCGUUCUCAACUGAAACUUUUUCGUUAUAAAAGAUUGUUGAUAUGCUUCUGGAGUUCGAAAGCCAUCAGACUCAAGCGGUGAACGACGUACCUUUUCAUGCUCAUUUGGUAGAGGCCACUUCGGCGACAUCCGUGGAGGACUCCGUACGUGGUGGUCGUCCUCCUUCUGGUGCUCGUAGGCGCGACUUUCGAUCUCAGCUUCAGUGCCAGGACUAUGGUUGCUAUGGACAUUUGGUACAAUGCUGUUAUUAUCAGUUCAACCGCGACUACAGUGAUCUGUCUGUUUUGACCAUGGCGCGGGUUUCGCCUGUUCAUGCUGAUCACAAUUAGCAUAACGAUGUUUUUGGCGCAAGUGGUCUCUCGACUAGCUGGUUUUCAUCAACUUGUCCUGGUCCGGACCCGUUCGUGCCUGGACAGUAUGUCGAUUCUUUGGUGGUGACACCGGCGUAUUUCUCUUAUGGCUCAUCAUGGUGAGGGUGGCCACAUUUGCAAAACAAUGCCUCCCUUGUGCCAAGUUUGUUGAAUGUUAAGGUUUCUAACCCUUUUGCUCAUAAUUUUGACGAUGGGGCAGGCUAGGUGUUUGGGCUCGCUGUUGGACCAAGCUCAAAUUGUGGCCAAUUUGGUGGUCCUCACUUACCGCGGAGAAUGGGCCAGCACGUUAGGCCAUUUGCUAGUGUUCCUAGGCCGACUGGUUCAGGCCAAGAUUUUGGGCCAUAUGGAAUUCGUAGGCUAACCAGUGCUGGUCCUAACAUUGGACAGGGUUCACUUGGGCCAAAUGUUAAUUUUGUUAGACUUGAGGGCUCUUUUGGGCAUGGACAAGGACUUUGGCCCACCACUGGCAAUGUUUCAGUGCCAAAUAAUGGGUCAUGCGUUCCAUGGCGCACUAAACUGACGGCGCACAUUAUUGAUUGAUUUCUCACUGUGUGUUGGGUUGCCUCACAUUCUUGAUUUUCAUGUGUCUGAUAUUUUUACUACCUCUGGGUCCAAUGCUAACACGACUCCGUAUGGGUCUAAUUUUGAUAAUGAUAACUCUUACAUUCCUAUGCCUGUAGGGACCUUGUCCUGGUGUCUUAAUUCAGGGUCUAUACAUCAUGUCUAUCGAGAAGCCUCUACCUUGAACGAGUCUACGCCAUACUCAGGUACAUCUCCUCUCCUCAUGGAUGAUAUUACUCCUACAAAAAUAUCAUGUGUUGGAAACUCUAUCUUGCCUACGAAGACUAAGCUGUUUCAUCUAUCUAAUGUUUUGUGUGUGCCAAAUAUACGGAAGAAUCUGCUAUCUGUCUCUCAAUUUGCUAAUGACAAUAAUAUGGUCUUUGAAUUUCACCCGUCUUAUUGAGGACAUCCAGACUCAGGAAAUUUUGCUUCGGGGCCACACUCGUGAUGGGCUCUAUUAUUUUUCGUAGGUUACUCAUGUUCCGUCUGUCGUUGUUCCUUCUGUUCACAACACUGGGCUCCAGAGUCGCAAUGCCGGUGAUGAUGUUUUUACGUUAUGGCACUACAGACUUGGUCAUCCGUCUGCCUCGAUUGUUAAACUUGUUCUCGAUAAGUGUCAAGUUGUUUCAACUAAAAUGUACCUUGAAAAUAUUUGUAUUGCUUGUCAAAAGGGGAAGUCCCAUAAACUGUCUUUUUCAAGUUCUACUACUAAAUAUACGGAUUUGUUUGAAUUGGUUGUCUUUGACUUAUGUGGACUGGCAUCUGUUGUCUGUAGAAAUAAUCUGUAUCAUGUUUCGUUUAUCGACAUGUGUAGUUAUUUUACUUGGAUUUAUCUCAUUAAACGUAAUUCUAAGGAGGUUGAAUGUUUUCUUCAGUUUCAGAAAAUGGUCAAAACUCAGUUUGGGAAAGAUAUUAAAAAAAUUCAAAGUGAUUGGGGUGGUGAGUUUCUUGCCUUUACGUCAGUUCUGGCUAGUCAUGGGAUACUUCAUCACCUCUCCUGUCCAUAUACAUCCGAGUAGAACGAUGUAGCUGAACGAAAACAUCGACACAUUGUUGAGAUGAGUCUUAUUCUAUUGGCCAAAGCUAACCUAUCCAUGGAUUUCUGUGGUUUCGUAUUUUACAAUGCCAUUCAUCUCAUUAGUCUUCUACCGACCCUAGUUCUGAAAGGUCAGUCUCCAUAUCAGGUUCUUCAUGGUAGUGACCCUACAUAUGAUCAUUUACAAGUAUUUAAGUGUUGUUGAUUUUCGUACCUGCGUCUGUUUCUGCAACACAAGUUGGAUUUUCAUUCUCAGCCAUGCAUAUUUUUUAGGUAUAGUUCUCAACAUAAAGGCUAUCACUGCCUCACACCAAAUGGUAAGGUCAUUGUCUCUCGUCAUGUUGUGUUUGAUGAACGUUGGUUUUUCUUUUCUUCAAAUGCUGUGAACACCGUUCAGUUAAGUCCAUGUAUCUCUACAUAUGUUCCUAUUGUUCGGUCUUCAUCUUGCCGCCCCACGACAUCUUCGCUUGUUCGACCCACUGAGUCAUCGACUCUUGCUCCUAAUUGUAGUUCCACGCUGUCUGUUUCAGUUGACACUCCGGCUGAAUUAGGUUUUACUCAUGAGGUGCAUCGGCUCUCUACCUCAUCCCUUGAAUCUCGUCAAUGCGAUCCAACUACAAUUCCAUUGGCUGUUCCAUCUAUUUCUCUGGAAUACUCAUAACACUAUUACUCAGCUAGACCCAAAGCUCUGUCUGUUGAAAUUGUCAACUGUGAGUCGAUCACGAUUGAAGAGGCGCUCGCUAGUAAGGAAUGGCAAUUAGUUGUCCAAGCUGAGUUUGUUGCUAUAAUGGUUAACUCCACUUGGGAGCUUGUUCCCUUACCUCAUGGUCGAAAAGUGAUUAGGUGUAAGUGGCUUUUUAAAAUAAAAAAAUCCUGAUGGGACUAUCACUUGACGUAAGGCUCGGUUGGAAGCAAAGGGUUGUUCUCAGGUACUCAGGUGUGAUUUCAAGGAAACCUUUAGUUUGGUAGUUAAACCUGCUACUAUUAGAACCAUAUUAUCUGUUGCUAUCUCCAACGGUUGGCAAUUUGGUCAGGUAGAUGUGAACAAUGCUUUUUUAAAUGGUGAUCUUAUUGACGAAGUGUUCAUGCAGCAACCUCUAGGCUAUGUUCAGAUUGGUCAAAAUGGUGAGCCCUUGGUGUAUCAUUUGACAAAGGUGUUGUACAGAUUAAGACAAGCUCCACGUGCUUGGUUUGAUAAAUUGAAACGUUUUUUUGUUUCUAUUGGAUUUGCUUUAUCCAAAUCUGAUGUAUCCUUAUUUGUUCAAGUUAAUUCGAAUCCACUAUUUAUGUUUUAGUCUAUAUGGAUGAUAUUAUCGUUACUAGAAGUACGAUCGACGGUAUAAAUGGCUGUAUUCAAUAGUUACAUAAUGUGUUUCCCUUAAAGAUAUGGGAGAUCUUUACUACUUCUUAGGCAUUGAAGUCACUCGGUAGUCCACUGGGAGUCUCCAUUUGUGCCAACGCAAAUACAUUCGGGAUCUUCUUGACAGUAGUUUUUUAGCUAAUGCAAAGAGUGUUCACACACCGAUGGUUAGUUCUUUUACGUUGUUUAAAGAUGUGGGAGAUCGCCUCGUUGAUCCUACUGGAUAUAGAAGUCUUGUCGGUGUAUUACAAUAUGUGGUCUUGACUCUGCCUGAUAUUGCUUAUGCUAUAAAUCAUGUUUGUCAAUUCAUGCAUGCCCCUACUACAGUACAUUUGGUGGCUUUGAAAAGAAUCUUGCACUAUUUAUGUGACACUAUUAAUCAUGGGUUAAUUUUGUCUGUUCAACAUAUUGUCUUUAGUUGGCUAUGCUAAUGCCAACUGGGGACUGGAUUUUGAUGAUCGUAAAUCAACAACAAGCUAUUGUUUGUAUUUUGGGUAUACACCCAUCUCUUGGUGAUCUAAGAGACAACUCUACUGCGUGAGGCGAAGUAUUUUGGCCGCACCAUGGCUGAGGUGAAGUAUCGAAGUCUAGCAACAACUACCAGUGAUGUUACUUGGUUAGUCUCUCUACUAACAAAAUUACAGAUUCAUUCUAUAGAUCCACAUACUAUUUGGCGUGACAACUCUAAUGCAGUAGCGGUCAUUGCUAAUCCGGUCUGACACUCUAAAUUUAAACAUGCCAAGCUUGAUCUAUUUUUUGUUCGCGAAAAGGUCGCUAAUGGUUCUCUCGUUGUCGGUGAGAUUCUAGCAUGUGAUUAAGUUGCUGACAUUCUCACAAAACCACUGUUCGUCUCUACUUUUGCUAGGUUUCGUAGUCUGCUUCAAUUCUUACCUCUUGAGAAGCUGGGUGAAGCCAGGUGAAUAUUAGAGUAUAGACUCUGUUAGUCUGUUACCAUUUUGUUAUUCAGGCUGGAAUAUUGUUAGUAAGCAGUUAGUCAUAGCAGUUAGUCAUACAAUUAUAAAUUCUAUUCAUGUAUUGUUCAAAGGUAAGCUAAUAAUACCAAAAGAGAUUUAAUGUGCUCAUUCUACUUUCUUUGUUAUUCUUCAUAAUACAGUUGUUAACAUGCUUGAUAUCAUCUCUUAGAGAGAACGAGGAGAGAUAAGAGUAAGAGUAUGAGCCAACUAGGGAUAAGGCUCUACCAUAAUACCUUGGAUGCAAUUAAAGUAAGAGUAAGAGCCAACUUGUUUGGCUUGAUAGCAUCCCCUUAUAGAAAAGGCUCUACCGCAUGGCAUGAGAGCAAUAAAAGUAACACUCAAUUUCUUGGGUUGAUAGCAUCUCCUUAGGGAAAAGGGUUUACCAUGUGACAUGAAAGCAAUUAAAGUAAGAGUAAGAUCCAACUUGUUUGUCUUAAUAGCAUCAUUUAAGAGAAAUAUCCCAAUCAAUUUAUUCAAAUAUGUUAAUCAAAUAAUGCAAGUUACAAUGUUCUGUCAGUUUUUCCUUUAAUUGUAACUGGGUUAAAGUUGGUAGUUGUAACUGCUACUAAUAGAAUGGAUACGGUAGAAAUGGUUGCAAGCAACAUAAGCAAAGAUGACUUUAAUGUCUUUGUAUUGACCACGUGAGAACUAUAGAAUGCAGAGAAUAGUAUGGUGAUUGGCAACAGAAUGCUACUAACCUUGAGGAUAGUAGACAGGGAUGGAUCCACGGGGGUUGGGGGCGGUCCCCCCUUGGAAUUUUUAAAAUUUUAAAUUUUAUAUAUAAAUUAUCAUGUAUUUUAAAUUUGGUGUCCACAUUGUAUAGCAUUCACCCCCCUUUUCCAAAUUGCAUUUCAUAUCAUUUGCCCUCUUAAGCCAUAAGGUUAUACUUUAUAUUAACAAAGUAUUUUCCAUUUUUUAAUUAUAUAAAUUUAAUAAUAAUAAUAAUAAUCAAAUAUUAAUAUAUGAUUGGCAUUGAAAGACUAAACAUAAAGGUCCAGUUGAGACUUUAAAGCCAAAUUCCAUAAUUAAUUAAUUGAUUUGGCCCAUACCAGUACAUAUUAGGUUAGCGAAAUUCUUGUAUUUUGAUUUGUAUGUCUUGCUAAGGAAUUAUCUUCCUUUGGUAAGGUGUUGACACUGCCAAGAGAAAAAGAAAGGAUUUUGAUGUCGAGAUUGUGAGCAUAGAGUAAAAAAAAUACAAAUUAUCUUCCUCUUAGCUCCUUAUGGAAAAAACCUCUCGGUAAAUAUUUUUGCAUAAAUUAUGUUUUUUAUUAAUUUGACUUAGUUUUUUUCUUUUUUCCUAAUACAUUGUUGUUUAAUAUAUUCUUACAAUCAUCAGGUUUUUUGACUAAAUUAUGGUCAAUAAAAACAUCGAAUCUAUUUAAAAAAAAAGAGUGUCAGAAAGCAAUAAUGAUCAACCGGUUCCUCAACCUUCCAUUAUUAGUGAAGAAAAAUCAAAUAUCGGAUCUUCCAAAGCUCUUGAACAAAAUAUCAGGUCUUCUUAAGCCCAAGCUCCUAAAUGCGGUAUGGAGUCUUCCCCAACUCCUGAACGAGAUUGUAACAAUCCAUACCCAAUUCGAUCACCAAAUCCAAGUAGAGAGCGCCGCAACUUAAACCAUAUGAAUUGAAUAAUAAAUAUUUGAAAUUUAUUAAAGUAUCGAGUUCUUGGUGUAACCCUCAGUAUAACAAUACGAAACAAUUAAAUCAAUGAUACGCCAGGAAAAAAUGUUUUUAGGCAAAACACAUGGCGGAAGCCUUACAAAAUUUUAUAAGUUUAUAUAAAAUGUAAGAUGAGUUAAUCCCAUACAACAGUUUCAAGUGCAUCGUUGGCGGUUAAAAGAACAUUCAAAAACUAUUCGGCGUAUAUGCCAAUGAGACAAUCACGUGGAACAAGAUAUAGUAGCUUAAACACAUACAUCACUUACCACGUCAUCAUAACAUAUACUAACCAUAUAAACAAACUUAUCGAGCUGCGAACUAACAAGUUCACCCAAACAUCUAGGGUUAGCGAUAACUUAUUAGAAGAGCCCGCCAAACCCUAGAGUUCGCCAAAACCUGGAGUUCACCAAAUGGCGACUCCCAUAGAAUACGCCAAACACACAACCAAAAAUAAAUACUCUACUAAUUUACUCAUUUUAUAUUCUUAGCAUAAACAACUAUGCACCAAACAGUAACUUGAUACAUUAUCUUUCGGGCGAGUUGUUACAAUUCUCCCCCAUUUAGAAACUUUUGUCCUUGAAAUUCUUACCGGUGAAUAACUGAGGAUAUUGUUCUUUCAUCGAACUCUCUCUUUCCCAAAUGGCUUCUUUUGUAUUGUGAUUUAUCUAUAAUACAUUAACCAAAGGAAUUCUUUUACUUCUCAACUCUUUUACUUCCCUUGCUAAAAUACAAACAGGUUCUUCUUCAUAGGACAAGUUUUGCUCCACUUCCAGUGCUUUGACUUGUACCACAUAAUCUGGAUUGGAUUGAUAUUUUCUUAACAUAGAUAUAUUAAACACAUUAUGUAUAUUUGAUAACUCUGGUGGCAACACCAGUUUGUAUGCCACUGGACCAACUUAUUCCAAAAUCUCAUAUGGUUCUAUGAAAUGCAGACUUAAUUUCCCUUUUUGUUCAAACCUUAUGAUCUUCUUCCAAAGAGAAAACUUCAUAAAUGCAUUGUCACCCACUUCGAAAGAGAUUAUUUUCCUUUUUAGAUCAGCAUAAGCUUUCUGGCGAUCUUAAGUUACUUUCAGAUGAUUUCUAAUGAUAAAGACUUUCUCUUCUGUUUCUCAUACUAAAUCAAGACCAACUAUUUUCCUUUUACUGAGUCUCAUCCAAUAGGUAGGAGAUCUGCACCUUCGUCUAUACAAAGCUCCAAAUGGUAACAUUCCCAGACUGUCAUAAUAACUAUUAUUAUACGCAAACUCUAGCAAAGGAAGAUAUCUUUCUCAAUUCAUUCUAAAAUCUAUAAUACAACCUCUAAACAUGUCUUCUAGAACUUGAAAUACUCUUUCAAAUUGCUCAUCGAAUUAGGGAUGAAAGGUAGUACAGAAUCAUUAUUUCGUUCCCAACGAUUCUUGCAGUUGUCUCCAAAAUCUCAAUGUAAACAUUGGGUCUCGAUCUGAAACUAUGGAUGUUGGAAUCCCAUGAGGCGUACAACUUCAGAAACGUAGAGAUUAGCCAACUUUUCCAAUAAGUAAUUUGUGCGGACAAACAAGAUAUGGGCUAACUUAGUAAGUCGAUCUACAAUUACCUAGACUGAGUACUUCUUCGAAAGGAUGAGAGGGAGAGCCAAAACAAAAUCCAUGGUGAUCUUAUCCCACUUCCACAUAGAUAUCUCUAAAAGGUACAACUUGCCUAAGGGAACCUGAUGUUCUAUUUUAAUCUGCUGACAUGUCAAACAAAUGGAAAUGUACUUUGUUAUUUCUUUCUUCAUUUCAAGUCAGUAAUACAAACUUAUCAAAUUAUGAUACAUUUUAUGUAAAACUCUCAACCCAACUCGAAAUGUCGAGUCUGGAUCUCGGGUAUUACUAUACAUAAUACUUGGCAAAAUAUCAAAAUAGUUGACAAAUACUCUUUAUAGAAAACAUUUUCUUAUUAUUUUAACCAAAAGACUAAAUAUUUAAUAACAAGAGAAAAUAUUAAAAACAAAAAAAAAUUAUUACAUCAGACUUGGUACAACUCAUUAUAGUAUAAAAUUUUGUUAAAGACAUACUCUUGGGGCAUAACCCUAAUCUAAGCCACUUUUCCACUAUAUGCAUAAUAACCCACUUCGCCACUAUCUUGGCGUACUCCUAGCAUCGUCACUCCUAAUGCAUUCUCUACCCAUACACCUGAAAACAACAACAUUUUAAGCUUAAGAUAACUUAGUGACUUUUAUCCCAAAAAUACCUUGGCGAGUACUUUAUAUUAUUUGAAGAACAUUUGUGCGCCAUCUAUCCUUCUGAACCACCUUCUUCUGAAUUAAGUGGAUACUAUUAUAGAUUCAACUUUCACUUACACGCCAACUAUCAUACUCUUAACAAACUCACUUAUUCUAGAAUAGUUGUUCACAUAUAUUAAUCACUAAUUGAUACAUUCAUAUUUGGCGAAUACUUACGCAGAUCUGAAUACCAUCAAACUACUAAUCAAAUCAUACCUUGAUCCGAUACCAUACAAACUCAUACUGAUAAUGUACUACACAAAUUAUUCAAAUGAAUUUUCCACUACUUUGUUACAGGACCCCAGAUAAUCAUCAUAACAAUAACUCAAUUUUCAUAUGAUUUCAGAAGAAGAUAUAAUACAACCCAAAUACGGCAAAUUCCAGAUAACUCAGAUUCAACAACUGCUUAACACAUACGAACUCACAUUUAUAAUUUCUUAUGUCCCACAUAACUACGACUAUGUCUAUAUUCAACACUAACAAAUAAUCAUGACGGAUACCCUUCUUAUACAUAUAUGCAUUUCUUUUCUAGAAAUCUCUUAAGACUUACUCAAUUAUAUCACAUAUCUUAUUCAACCCUUAACUUUAGACAUAUCAUAACCCUAUCAUAUCAAUAUCUAUCACAAAAAAAAUCAGGAUUUAUCCAAAACUUACCAUAAAGGUAGAUAAUCAUAUUAUAUCAGACAAACUUAACUAAAUGUGCCACAAAGGCCAAACAAAAUAUGCCUUAAAGGCUUCAUACAAAAUCACGUGUUUACUAUCCCGACGGACUAUCACAAAAGGUGUCAUGGGUUUCUCCCACAUGGACUUAUACAUAAUUUCAUGUAUUGUGAUCUGCCAUUUUGAAUCAUACGUUAUCGAAGGAUACUCCAUAAGCAUACAUACAGACAUAUCUUGCCAUGUGUCUCAGCCACAUGGCUUAAACACACAUUCAUGUACUGUGAUAUGUCAAUCCAGUCUUACUCUUAUUAGAGCCUACACCAUGAGUGUUUUCAAAUCAUAUUAAGAUGUUGUAGGUCUCAACCUCAUAGUCUUACACUUGUUUUCAUAUCGUGACCUGCCAGUCUAGUUAGCAAUAUAAUUGCCUACCAGAGGCUUCAUAGAGGAACAUUUGCUUAGAUUCACUUACCUAGAUGAUCUGUAACACCCCUUACCCGAGACCGUUGUCAGAGUCGAGCACGAGGUAUUACUUAUCUUAUCUUACUAACUCGAAGCAUAAAAACUUGUUUUAAAAAUUAAUUUCACUAUUUAUAGCAAUUUGUCCAAUCGCGCAGCAGUUACUAAAUUAAUUAUAACUCGAGAUACGGAACUUGAAAUUUAACUCCGUAAAUUUUCCCUGAAACUAGACUCAUAUAUCUUCCUACCAUAAAAAUUUUAGGAUUUUUAGUUUAUCAAAUUAGUACAGUUUAUUAGUUAAAUUCUCCCCUGUUUCACAAAUCGACUGCCCUGACCUCUUAUCACUAAAAAUAAAAUGUAUCAUUGUGGGAUUUUCGUAUAGUGCUACCGCUUGCUUCUACAGAAAAUAGACUCAAUAAGGAAUCUAUACAUAUAAACUACAACUCAUAAAUAUUUUUUUAAAAUUUUUAAUGAUUUUAUAAACUCAAAACAGGGGUCACCAAAAACUGUUCUAACCCUGUCUCACCAAAAUUCACAUAUCUUAAAAUAUAAAUUCCUUUUGCUACACCGUUAUUUUUAUGUGAAAAUAGACUCAACAAGAUUUAUGUCAUUCAAUAUUUAAUUCAUUUUAUACUAUCCUAGGUGAUUUUUCAAAGUCACGUCACUGUUGCUGCCUGAAUUCUGUUUCUUUGCAAAAUUUUACCCUUUUAUGAUUUCCAUGCAUAGUUUAUCACUUAGACUCUUAUAACAACAAACACUUCCAUACUUAACCAUUUUAGCAACCAUUCAUCAUCAAAUACUUACACAUCAUUCUUUAGCAAGAUCAUAAAUACAAACAUUUAAAAUAACUAAAUCCCUUUACAUUCCAUACUCAACAUGGUUCAACAUAAAAAUACCGAGUUGCUGUGGUUGAUAGUGUGGACGAUCUCCGACUUCUUUAGGAUCCUUGAAGUAACCUUGCAAUACUAUAAGAGAAAGAGAAAUAAAAGACGUAAGCAUAAAGCUUAGUAAGUUUACUAGCAAAUAAAUAACAAUAUUUAACUAGAUAAUUAAACUCAAGUGUCUAUAUCUCUAGUUUACUAUUUAGUUAAUCUCAUUCUAGUUCUCUUGCUUGUUUACUUAGUAUACUUGUGUGCAUAACUUACUCCUCUCUUGCUGUAUAGUUGAAUAUCAAUUGAUAAUAUAAUAAGUUAUUAACUCUUAUAACUUACCUGAACUUGCCAUUUAUGUUUUUAACUGAACUUUCCUGAACAUGAUUCGUUAUUUAGCCCGUUGAGCUACAUUGGAACAAUAAGGAUACUCGGGUCUCUUCUGAUAAUAACAUGCCAAAGCCAUGUCCCAGACAUGGUCUUACAUGGGAUGUACUCAUGUCGGUGCCCAUUCCAUAUCCCAGACAUGGUCUUACGGGGGACCUCUCAUCUCGGUGCCAAUGCCAUGUCCCAGACAUGGUCUUACAUGGGACCUCUCAUCUCGGUGCCAACGCCAUGUCCCAGACAUGGUCUUACAUGGGACCUCUCAUCUCGGUGCCAACGCCAUGUCCCAGACAUGGUCUUACAUGGGACCUCUUUACCCAAAUGUCAUGACAUUCGUAUCCAGUACCAUCCUUACUAUUCAUGACAACCGAUAUAUAUAUAUACAUACUCACUAUUCACAAGGACUCGAACGAUUAUAUACUCAUCAACCACCUUAAAACAAUGUUCAUAAACUUAUCCAUUUCAUAUAAACAAAAGCAUAUAUAUUUAUAACCAAUGCAUAGAAUCACUUAAUUUAAACAGAUUCACUGGCACUUCACCUGAUAGGCUUAUAGUUUAAUUCAGUUCACCGGCACUUAGCCUACUAGGCUUGUAGCCUGAUUCAGUUCACCGGCACUUAGCCUGCUAGACGUAUAGUCCGAUUCAAUUCACCGGCAUUUAGCCUGCUAGACGUAUAGUCUGAUUCAAUUUACCGGCACUUAGCCUGCUAGACGUAUAGUCUGAAUAAUUUUACUGGUAAUAAAUCCGAUAGUAAUUUCUCCGUUGAAAUUGAAUUAUAUUCAAUUCUGCGUAACAAACAUGCACUUAAAACAUACUUGCAUAAUUCACAACAAUAAUUUCAGUCCAAAGAGCUGUAAUUCAUAUUCGAACUAUAUAUAUAUAAAUCCAUACAUAAAAAUUCAACUCAAAAUUUAUAACCUAUAUCUUUGAACCACAUAGGUACAUGAAAUUCAAACACCAAAAUCCAGCUCAAUAACUUCAUGAUUCAACCUAACAAAUUUAUGUAUAUAACUUUUUAUCUAAUUUCAAUACAAUAACUUAUACAUGUACGUAUAUACAUAUUCGAAUCUAACAUAUACAUAUAUAAUUUCAUACUUAAAUAUAUUCAAGACUUAUUCAUGAGUAUACAUAUAUAUUACAACUCACAUGUACAUAUAUAUACACAUUCAUACCUUUAACCAAGUCCAAGGCUUUAUACAUGUAUAUGCUUAUAUAUAUAUAUUCGGACCUUAUGUUUACAUAUAUAUAUUAUAUAAAUACCUUUGAUUAAAAACAAGUAUUUAUACAUAUAUAUAUUUUCGAACAUGAUACAUAUAUAUUUAUAUCAUUCAUACUUAAACAAAAUUCAAUCCAUAUACUUUCAAUUUCAGCUCACCAAAUUACUAUAGAUAUACAUGCAUAUAUACUGAUUUAAUAACCUCAAAUUGCUAAUAGACUUACCUCGGAUAUCAGCGGACACGAUCGAGUAUUCGAUUACUUUCGUUUUUCCCCGAUCCAAAUUCGUUUUCUUCGUUUUUUAUCUUAAUUAGACCUAGAGAUAGCCGAACCUUGUUGUUCUCUUUUCUUUUCUUUUCUUUUUCUUUUCUAUAUUCGGCCAAGAUGAAGAACAUGGCAUUUAAAAUUUGUUAUAUUAAACAUAUAUUAGCCUUAUUUUUAAUUUACUAUAUUAACCUUUACAUAUAUAUAACAUAUAUAAUAAGGUUACAUUAGUCCUUUGCCACCCACUAACUUACAUAGUGGACUAAUUGCAUAGUAAAACCUCUAAAUUAUAAAGACAACAAGAAUUAGGUCCUUUUAUAAUUAACCCCUAAAUUUUCAUUUUACGCGAUUAAGCCCUUUUAUUAAAUCGGACACUUAAACGACGAAAUUAAAACACGAAAAUUUCACACAAUCAAAUGCAUACAAAACAAUAUUAAUAAUAUUUUUCUAAUUCAAAUUUGUGGUCCCGAAACCAGUAUUCUGAUUAGGGUCAAAAACCGGGUUGUUACAACUCUCCCCCCUUAGGGAUUUUCGUCCCCGAAAAUCUUACCGGUGAAUAGGUUUGGAUAACGCUCUUUCAUUGUAUCUUCUAACUCCCAAGUUGCUUCUUCAACCCCAUGUUUAUGCCACAACACUUUAACUAACGGAAUUUUCUUAUUUCGUAAUUCUUUGAUCUCACGAGCCAGAAUGCUAAUCGGUUCUUCCUCAUAUGUCAUAUCAGAGUUAAUUUCAAUCUCCGUCGGACUAAUCACAUGUGAAGGAUCAGAUCGGUAUCUACGAAGCAUCGAAACAUGGAAUACGUUAUGAAUCUUUUCUAACUCAGGCAGUAACAUCAAUCUAUAAGCAACCAAUCCAACUCGCUCUAUAAUCUCAUACGGUCCAAUGAAUCUCGGACACAAUUUGCCUUUACGACCAAAUCUGAGUAUUUUCUUCCACGGUGAGACUUUUAAAAACACUUUAUCCCCGAUCUGAAAUUCUAUAUCCUUUCUUUUCAAAUUCGCAUAAGAUUUCUGACGAUCCGAUGCUGAUUUCAGACUGUCCCGAAUCACUUUCACUUUCUGUUCGGUCUCUUUAAUCAAAUCAACCCCGUGUAUCUUAUUUUCACUGAGCUCGGUCCAAUACAGUGGUGUACGACAUUUACAACCGUACAAAGCCUCAUAAGGUGCCAUUUUGAUACUAGAUUGAAAGCUAUUAUUAUAAGCAAAUUCAAUCAAAGGUAAGUAUCGUUCCCACGUACCUUCAAACUCGAGAAUGCAACAUCUCAACAUAUCCUCAAGUAUCUGAAUGAUUCAUUCAGAUUGACCAUCUGUCUGCGGAUCGAAAGCUGUGCUAAAAUGUAGUUUCGUACCUAAAGCAUCUUGUAGUUUCUUCCAAAAUCGCGAUGUGAAUCUCAGAUCUCUGUCUGAAACAAUAGAAAUAGGUACACCAUGCAACCUCACAAUUUGUGAAAUAUACAAUUCCGCAAGUUUAUCGAGCGAAAAAUCUGUACGAAUCGAAAUAAAAUGUGUCGAUUUUGUCAACCUAUCAACAAUAACCCAGAUUGCAUCUAUCUUGCUCGGUGUCAACGGUAAAUCGGAUACAAAAUCCAUCGUGACUCGAUCCCAUUUCCAUUGAGGUAUCAUGAUCGGCUGAAGCAACCCAGAUGGUACCUGAUGCUUGGCUUUAACUUGCUGACAAAUUAAACAUUUCGAAACAAAGUCAGAAAUGUCUCGUUUCAUACCUUGCCACCAAUAGUGCUGUUUCAGAUCGUUAUACAUUUUCGUGCUACCCGGAUGAACAGAAAAUCGACUACUAUGAGCUUCCUUCAAAAUCAUCUAAAUUAACUCUGAUUUUUUCGGAACACAUAAUCGGUUUCUAAAUCUCAAACAAUCCUCAGCAUCAACUAAAAACUCCGAAUCAAUAUUUAAGUCACAUUGAGCUCGUUUUGCAGUUAAAUCAUUAUCGACCUUUUGAGCUUCACAAAUCUGUUGUACAAAUAACGGUUUUGCUUUCAACUCAGCUACUAUCGCACCAUCAUCAGACAUAACCAUAUGUGCGUUCAUUGCACGCAAAGCAAACAGUGAUUUUCGACUUAGGGCAUCAGCAACAACAUUAGCCUUUCCCGGAUGAUAGUCAAUCACAAGCUCGUAUUCUUUCAGCAAUUCUAACCAUCGACGCUGUCUCAAAUUCAGAUAUUUCUGAGUCAUCAAAUAUUUCAGGCUUUUGGGAUCGGAAUAAACAUGACAUCUUUCACCAAACAGAUAGUGACGCCAUAUUUUUAACGCAAAUACAAUAGCGGCCAAUUCCAGAUCAUGUGUCGGAUAGUUUUUUUCAUGCGGCUUUAACUGUCUCAAGGCAUAGGCUACAACUUUGCCUUCCUACAUCAAAACACAACCCAAACCAUUUAAAGAUGCAUCACUAUAGAUAACAAACUCUUUACCCGAUUCGGGUUGAACUAAGACUGGAGCUUCGGUCAAAAGAACUUUCAACUGAUCAAAGUUUUUCUGACACUUUUCUGACCACUCGAACUUAACGUCUUUUUGUAGUAGCUUUGUCAUCGGGGUCGCAAUCAUAGAAAACCCUUUCACGAACCGUCUAUAAUAACCAGCGAGCCCCAGAAAGCUUCGAACAUCAGAGACAUUUCUCGGAGGUUUCCAAUCAAGUAUAGCUGAAAUUUUACCUGGAUCAACUCGAAUACCCGAUGCUGACACAACAUGGCCCAGAAAACUAACUUCACGUAACCAGAACUCGCAUUUACUGAACUUUGCAUACAACUGUUUAUCUCGCAAAGUUUGUAACACAAGUCUCAGAUGUUCAGUAUGCUCGGUUUCAUCACGAGAGUAGAUCAAAAUAUCAUCUAUAAAUACUACCACAAAUCGAUCCAGAUACUGUCUAAAAAUCUGAUUCAUCAAAUCCAUGAAAACAGCAGGUGCAUUAGUAAGUCCAAAAGGCAUAACCAAGAACUCAUAAUGUCCGUACCUCGUUCGGAAAGCUGUCUUUGGCACAUCAGAGUCUUUAACUCGCAACUGAUAGUAGCCUGAUCUCAGAUCUAUCUUCGAAAACACAGUAGCCCCUUUCAACUGAUCGAACAAAUCAUCAAUCCGUGGUAACGGAUACUUAUUCUUUAUAGUCACCUUAUUGAGUUGCCGGUAAUCAAUGCACAUUCUCAUUGUUCUGUCUUUCUUUUUCACAAAUAGAACUGGUGCACCCCAAGGAGAGAAACUCGGUCGUGUAAAACCUUUAUCAGUCAACUCUUGCAACUGUACUUUCAAUUCUUUUAAUUCGGUCGGUACCAUACGGUACGGAGCUAUCGAAAUUGGAGUUGUCCCUGGUACUAACUCAAUACCAAACUCUACCUCUCGAAUAGGUGGCAAACCCGGUAAUUCUUCGGGAAACACGUCUGAAUACUUACACACUACUGGCACAGAUUCAAUCUUCUUUUCGGUCACUUUACUAUCAAGAAAAAAUGCAAGGUAAUCUUCACAACCUUUUCUCACAUACUUCUGAGCCGACAUCGAGGAUAUUAUUGCUGGUAAACCAUUCAGAUCAUUAGAUUCAAUCCGAAUAAUCUCAUCAUUCUGACACCGUAGAUCAAUAGUUUUCCGUUUGCAGUUUACUAUAGCAUUAUGCAGAGUUAACCAAUCCAUACCCAGAAUUAUAUCAAACUCGUCAAAUGGUAGCAACAUCAAAUCAGCCAGAAAACAUAAAUCUCGAAUCAUCAACGGACAAUUCUUGCACACUUUGUCAACCAAAACACACCGGCCCAAGAGGUUCAAUACUUUAAUUACAAACUCAGUAGACUCAACAGGCAAAGUCUUACUGAAUACUAAAGUCUCACACACAUAAGAAUGAGUCGAACCAAGAUCAAUCAAUGCAAUAACAUUAGUAUCAUAAAGAGUGAAAGUACCAGUAAUAACAUCUGGAGAAGAAGCCUCCUCCCGAGCACGGAUGGCAUAUGCUCUGGCAAGUGCACGAGCCUCAGAUCGAACUGCCAUGUCCUUUGUUCCUCUCUGACUGCCACUUACAUUACUCAAUUGCCUCGGCGGUCUACCUCGUACAGGUACUUUACUCGGUCUGGUAUUCUACACAGUGUUUUGCUCAGCUACCAUCGGACACUCUCGAAUGAAAUGAUCCUUUGAACCGCACUUAAAGCAAGACCGAUCAUGUAAUCUGCAAUCUCCAGGAUGCCAUUUCCCACAAUGCUUGUACUCUGAUCUAUUUUGUCGAACACUACCAACGCUAGCAACUGAAGUAGCUCGUGAACUCACAGGGGGUCGAUCUCGAUCAUACUUAGGAAACCCUGCAGUAGCUUUAGAUCGGCUAUGAUCCUCUCUGGAUUUCAUUGAGGUCGACUGGAAUGAUUUACUGAAUGAUCUUUUACGAGAAUCUCGAGCUUCAUAGCCAGCUUUCCUCUUCUCUUUACUGAGCUCCUUAACUUUACAAGGUCGUUCAACAAGUACUACGAACUCUUUUAUCUCAAGUAUACCAAAUAACAGUUUAAUAUCUUCAUCCAGCCCAUCUUCAAAUCUUUUACACAUGAUAGCUUCAGUCGAAAUACAUUCUCGAGCAUAUCUACUGAGUCUCACAAAUUUCCGCUCAUAUUCUAUCACUGUCAUACGACCCUGUUUCAAUUCAAGAAAUUCCUUAUGCUUCUGAUCAAUGAAUCUUUGGCUGAUGUAUUUCUUACAGAACUCAAUCUGAAAGAAUUCCCAGGUCACUCGCUCUUUCGGAACCACCGAUACUAGUGUAUUCCACCAGUGAUAUGCAGUGUCCCGUAGCAAAGAUAUGGCACAUUUCAAGUACUCAUCAGGGGUGCAAGAUAACUCAUCAAACACUCGAAUAGUAUUAUCAAGCCAGAAUUCAGCUUGCUCAGCAUCAUCAUCAUCAGUAGCUCUGAACUCUUCGACCCCGUGUUUUCAAAUUUAGUCAACAGGAGGCUUAAGUAAUCUCAUCGGAUCACUUACUUGAGGUAUAAUAGGAAUCGAAGGUGGAUUAGUCGGGGGUGGAGUUUGUUGUGCAACCGGAUUAGUUCGGACAUAUUGAGUAAACCAGUCAUUCAUCAUUUGGUAGAAGGCUUGUUUAGCCUCUCCCUCCUGGUUACUCGAGGUCGGUCGAGAAUCUACCAGCUCUGUCCCUUGUGUGGGAGCAGGCGCUAUACUCUCAACAUCAUCGACUACGGCUGGAUCGGGAUCCAUUACUAUACGAAAACACAUUUUUAGACAUCAGCAGUCAUCGCACUAUCUUGGUAUAAAAAUAUGGCAUGUAUAGCUAGACUCAUACAUGCUACAUUAGUCCAAGAAUCGAUUAAACCGUAGCUCUGAUACCAAUAAAAUGUAACACCCCUAACCCGUAUCCGUCGCCGAAUUAGGGUUACGAGGCAUUACUGAACAAAUACAACCAUUUUUAAAACCAACUGAUCACAAACAUGAAAAUUAAAUCAUUUUCACAUAGCUAUUUAUAAUUUACAAUCAACAUCUAACCAACAUCGUACUCAAACCUAUACAUGCCAUAAGAUCAAGUUCAAAUAUUUAACAAAAUACCAAAAGGGGUCGAAAGUGUGAUAGACUAUGCUGAUGAUCCCCGAGCUCGUAACGCAUCUCCAAAAUCUAUAAAAACAAAUGGACAAAAACAAUCAAAGUAAGCUUUUAUAGCUUAGUAAGUCUAUAGCAUAUCUAAAAUACAUAUAAAAGAAUCAUAUAAUUCUUAAAAUAAAUUUAUUGAAAUCACAAUUAUCAAUUAUAAUUACUAAUCGAACAUUGCUAUAUUAAGUCAUCUUGUUUAAAUCUAAAAGGAUGUGUAUUUAUCUAAUACACAUGAACGGACAAAUGUAUAUACAUUAUAUGCAUAUAAUCAAUUUACUAACAUAAUCAUUAAUUGCAUAUACGGAUUUCUAUAGUACUUAUUGUUCGCACUUAAUCGGAUCCAUUUAAAUAUAAUUGUUCAAAUACAUAUACCAAAAGCAUAAUAAUUUUAUACUUGAUCAACUAUAAGUGCCGAAUGCACAUAUACACCUAUACCCACCUAUGCCGAAUGCAUACAUAUAUACACAUAUAUAUAUAUCCAACAAUUUCGUGACAACCGAUAUAUAUAUACAUACUCACUAUUCACAAGGACUCGAACGAUUAUAUACUCAUCAACCACCUUAAAACAAUGUUCAUAAACUUAUCCAUUUCAUAUAAACAAAAGCAUAUAUAUUUAUACCCAAUGCAUAGAAUCACUUAAUUUAAACAGAUUCACUAGCACUUCACCUGAUAGGCUUAUAGUUUAAUUCAGUUCACCGGUACUUAGCCUACUAGGCUUGUAGCCUGAUUCAGUUCACCGGCACUUAGCCUGCUAGACGUAUAGUCCGAUUCAAUUCACCGGCAUUUAGCCUGCUAGACGUAUAGUCCGAUUCAAUUUAUCGGCACUUAGCCUGCUAGAUGUAUAGUCUGAAUAAUUUUACUGGUAAUAAAUCCGAUAGUCAUUUCUCCGUUGAAAUUGAAUUAUAUUCAAUUCUGCGUAACAAACAUGCACUUAAAACAUACUUGCAUAAUUCACAACAAUAAUUUCAGUCCAAAGAGCUGUAAUUCAUAUUCGAACUAUAUAUAUAAAUCCAUACAUAAAAAUUCAGCUCAAAAUUUAUAACCUAUAUCUUUGAACCACAUAGGUACAUGAAAUUCAAACAACAAAAUCCAGCUCAAUAACUUCAUGAUUCAACCUAACAAAUUUAUGUAUAUAACUUUUUAUCUAAUUUCAAUACAAUAACUUAUACAUGUACGUAUAUACAUAUUCGAAUCUAACAUAUACAUAUAUAAUUUCAUACUUAAAUAUAUUCAAGACUUAUUCAUGAGUAUACAUAUAUAUUACAACUCACAUGUACAUAUAUAUACACAUUCAUACCUUUAACCAAGUCCAAGGCUUUAUACAUGUAUAUGCUUAUAUAUAUAUAUAUUCGGACCUUAUGUUUACAUAUAUAUUAUAUAUAAAUACCUUUGAUUAAAAACAAGUAUUUAUACAUAUAUAUAUUUUUGAACAUGAUACAUAUAUAUAUUUAUAUCAUUCAUACUUAAACAAAAUUCAAUCCAUAUACUUUCAAUUUCAGCUCACCAAAUUACUAUAGAUAUACAUGCAUAUAUACUGAUUUAAUAACCUCAAAUUGCUAAUAGACUUACCUCGGAUAUCAGCGGACACGAUCGACUAUUCGAUUACUUUCGUUUUUCCCCGAUCCAAAUUCGUUUUCUUCGUUUUUUUAUCUUAAUUAGACCUAGAGAUAGCCGAACCUUGUUGUUCUCUUUUCUUUUCUUUUCUUUUUCUUUUCUAUAUUCGGCCAAGAUGAAGAACAUGGCAUUUAAAAUUUGUUAUAUUAAACAUAUAUUAGCCUUAUUUUUAAUUUACUAUAUUAACCUUUACAUAUAUAUAUAACAUAUAUAAUAAGGUUACAUUAGUCCUUUGCCACCCACUAACUUACAUAGUGGACUAAUUGCAUAGUAAAACCUCUAAAUUAUAAAGACAACAACAAUUAGGUGCUUUUAUAAUUAACCCCUAAAUUUUCAUUUUACGCGAUUAAGCCCUUUUAUUAAAUCGGACACUUAAACGACGAAAUUAAAACACGAAAAUUUCACACAAUCAAAUGCAUACAAAAUAAUAUUAAUAAUAUUUUUCUAAUUCAAAUUUGUGGUCCCGAAACCAGUAUUCUGAUUAGGGUCAAAAACCGGGUUGUUACAACUCUCCCCCCUUAGAGAUUUUCGUCCCCGAAAAUCUUACCGGUGAAUAGGUUUGGAUAACGCUCUUUCAUUGUAUCUUCUGACUCCCAAGUUGCUUCUUCAACCCCAUGUUUAUGCCACAACACUUUAACUAACGGAAUUUUCUUAUUUCGUAAUUCUUUGAUCUCACGAGCAAGAAUGCUAAUCGGUUCUUCCUCAUAUGUCAUAUCAGAGUUAAUUUCAAUCUCCGUCGGACUAAUCACAUGUGAAGGAUCAGAUCGGUAUCUACGGAGCAUCGAAACAUGGAAUACGUUAUGAAUCUUUUCUAACUCAGGCAGUAACAUCAAUCUAUAAGCAACCAAUCCAACUCGCUCUAUAAUCUCAUACGGUCCAAUUAAUCUCGGACACAAUUUGCCUUUACGACCAAAUCUGAGUAUUUUCUUCCACGGUGAGACUUUUAACUUGCUCGGUGUCAACGGUAAAUCGGAUACAAAAUCCAUCGUGACUCGAUCCCAUUUCCAUUGAGGUAUCAUGAUCGGCUGAAGCAAUCCAGAUGGUACCUGAUGCUCGGCUUUAACUUGCUGACAAAUUAAACAUUUCGAAACAAAGUCAGAAAUGUCUCGUUUCAUACCUUGCCACCAAUAGUGCUGUUUUAGAUCGUUAUACAUUUUCGUGCUACCCGGAUGAACAGAAAAUCGAAUACUAUGAGCUUCCUUCAAAAUCAUCUGAAUUAACUCUGAAUUUUUCGGAACACAUAAUCGGUUUCUAAAUCUCAAACAAUCCUCAGCAUCAACUAAAAACUCCGAAUCAAUAUUUAAGUCACAUUGAGCUCGUUUUGCAGUUAAAUCAUUAUCAACCUUUUGAGCUUCACAAAUCUGUUGUACAAAUAACAGUUUUGCUUUCAACUCAGCUACUAUCGCACCAUCAUCAGACAUAACCAUAUGUGCGUUCAUUGCACGCAAAGCAAACAGUGAUUUUCGACUUAGGGCAUCAGCAACAACAUUAGCCUUUCCCGGAUGAUAGUCAAUCACAAGCUCGUAAUCUUUCAGCAAUUCUAACCAUCGACGCUGUCUCAAAUUCAGAUAUUUCUGAGUCAUCAAAUAUUUCAGGCUUUUGGGAUCGGAAUAAACAUGACAUCUUUCGCCAAACAGAUAGUGACGCCAUAUUUUUAACGCAAAUACAAUAGCGGCCAAUUCCAGAUCAUGCGUCGGAUAGUUUUUUUCAUGCGGCUUUAACUGUCUCAAGGCAUAGGCUACAACUUUGCCUUCCUACAUCAAAACACAACCCAAACCAUUUAAAGAUGCAUCACUAUAGAUAACAAACUCUUUACCCGAUUCGGGUUGAACUAGGACUGGAGCUUCGGUCAAAAGAACUUUCAACUGAUCAAAGUUUUUCUGACACUUUUCUGACCACUCGAACUUAACGUCUUUUUGUAGUAGCUUUGUCAUCGGGGUCGCAAUCAUAGAAAACCCUUUCACGAACCGUCUAUAAUAACCAGCGAGCCCCAGAAAGCUUCGAACAUCAGAGACAUUUCUCGGAGGUUUCCAAUCAAGUAUAGCUGAAAUUUUACUUGGAUCAACCUGAAUACCCGAUGCUGACACAACAUGGCCCAGAAAACUAACUUCACGUAACCAGAACUCGAAUUUACUGAACUUUGCAUACAACUGUUUAUCUCGCAAAGUUUGUAACACAAGUCUCAGAUGUUCAGUAUGCUCGGUUUCAUCACGAGAGUAGAUCAAAAUAUCAUCUAUAAAUACUACCACAAACAGAUCCAGAUACUGUCUAAAAAUCUGAUUCAUCAAAUCCAUGAAAACAGCAGGUGCAUUAGUAAGUCCAAAAGGCAUAACCAAGAACUCAUAAUGUCCGUACCUCGUUCGGAAAGCAGUCUUUGGCACAUCAGAGUCUUUAACUCGCAACUGAUAGUAGCCUGAUCUCAGAUCUAUCUUCGAAAACACAGUAGCCCCUUUCAACUGAUCGAACAAAUCAUCAAUCCGUGGUAACGGAUACUUAUUCUUUAUAGUCACCUUAUUGAGUUGCCGGUAAUCAAUGCACAUUCUCAUUGUUCCGUCUUUCUUUUUCACAAAUAGAACUGGUGCACCCCAAGGAGAGAAACUCGGUCGUGCAAAACCUUUAUCAGUCAACUCUUGCAACUGUACUUUCAAUUCUUUUAAUUCAGUCGGUGCCAUACGGUACGGAGCUAUCGAAAUUGGAGUUGUCCCUGGUACUAACUCAAUACCAAACUCUACCUCUCGAAUAGGUGGCAAACCCGGUAAUUCUUCGGGAAACACGUCUGAAUACUUACACACUACUGGCACAGAUUCAAUCUUCUUUUCGAUCACUUUACUAUCAAGAAAAAAUGCAAGGUAAUCUUCACAACCUUUUCUCACAUACUUUUUUGCCGACAUCGAGGAUAUUAUUGCUGGUAAACCAUUCAGAUCAUUAGAUUCAAUCCGAAUAAUCUCAUCAUUCUGACACCGUAGAUCAAUAGUUUUCCGUUUGCAGUUUACUAUAGCAUCAUGCAGAGUUAACCAAUCCAUACCCAGAAUUAUAUCAAACUCGUCAAAUGGUAGCAACAUCAAAUCAGCCAGAAAACAUAAAUCUCGAAUCAUCAACGGACAAUUCUUGCAUAUUUUGUCAACCAAAACACACCGGCCCAGGGGGUUCAAUACUUUAAUUACAAACUCAGUAGACUCAACAGGCAAAGUCUUACUGAAUACUAAAGUCUCACACACAUAAGAAUGAGUCGAACCAAGAUCAAUCAAUGCAAUAACAUUAGUAUCAUAAAGAGGGAAAGUACCAGUAAUAACAUCUGGAGAAGAAGCCUCCUCUUGAGCACGGAUGGCAUAUGCUCUGGCAAGUGCACGAGCCUCAGAUCGAACUGCCAUGUCCUUUGUUCCUCUCUGACUGCCACUUACAUUACUCAAUUGCCUCGGUGGUCUACCUCGUACUGGCACUUUACUCGGUCUGGUAUUCUGCACAGUGUUUUGCUCAGCUACCAUCGGACACUCUCGAAUGAAAUGAUCCUUUGAACCGCACUUAAAGCAAGACCGAUCAUGUAAUCUGCAAUCUCCAGGAUGCCAUUUCCCACAAUACUUGUACUCUGAUCUAUUUUGUCGAACACUACCAACGCUAGCAACUGAAGUAGCUCGUGAACUCACAGGGGGUCGAUCUCGAUCAUACUUAGGAAACCCUGCAGUAGCUUUAGAUCGGCUAUGAUCCUCUCUGGAUUUCAUUGAGGUCGACUGGAAUGAUUUACUGAAUAAUCUUUUACGAGAAUCUCGAGCUUCAUAGCCAGCUUUCCUCUUCUCUUUCCCGAGCUCCUCAACUUUACAAGGUCGUUCAACAAGUACUACGAACUCUUUUAUCUCAAGUAUACCAAAUAACAGUUUAAUAUCUUCAUCCAGCCCAUCUUCAAAUCUUUUACACAUGAUAGCUUCAGUCGAAAUACAUUCUCGAGCAUAUCUACUGAGUCUCACAAAUUUCCGCUCAUAUUCUAUCACUGUCAUACGACCCUGUUUCAAUUUAAGAAAUUACUUACGCUUCUGAUCAAUGAAUCUUUGGCUGAUGUAUUUCUUACAGAACUCAAUCUGAAAGAAUUCCCAGGUCACUCGCUCUUUCGGAACCACCGAUACUAGUGUAUUCCACCAGUGAUAUGCAGUGUCCCGUGGCAAAGAUAUGGCACAUUUCAAGUACUCAUCAGGGGUGCAAGAUAACUCAUCAAACACUCGAAUAGUAUUAUCAAGCCAGAAUUCAUCUCGCUCAGCAUCAUCAUCAUCAGUAGCUCUGAACUCUUCGACCCCGUGUUUUUGAAUUUUGUCAAUAGGAGGCUUAAGUAAUCUCAUCGGAUCACUUACUUGAGGUAUAACAGGAAUCGAAGGUGGAUUAGUCGGGGGUGGAGUUUGUUGUGCAACCGGAUUAGUUCGGACAUAUUGAGUAAACCAGUCAUUCAUCAUUUGGUAGAAGGCUUGUUUAGCCUCUCCCUCCUGGUUACUCGAGGUCGGUCGAGAAUCUACCGGCUCUGUCCCUUGUGUGGGAGCAGGCGCUAUACCCUCAACAUCAUCGACUACGGCUCGAUCGGGAUCCAUUACUAUACGAAAACACAUUUUUAGACAUCAGCAGUCAUCACACUAUCUUGGUAUAAAAAUAUGGCAUGUAUAGCUAGACUCAUACAUGCUACAUUAGUCCAAGAAUCGAUUAAACCGUAGCUCUGAUACCAAUAAAAUGUAACACCCCUAACCCGUAUCCGUCGCCGAAUUAGGGUUACGAGGCAUUACUGAACAAAUACAACCAUUUUUAAAACCAACUGAUCACAAACAUGAAAAUUAAAUCAUUUUCACAUAGCUAUUUAUAAUUUACAAUCAACAUCUAACCAACAUCGUACUCAAACCUAUACAUGCCAUAAGAUCAAGUUCAAAUAUUUAACAAAAUACCAAAAGGGGUCAAAAGUGUGAUAGACUAUGCUGAUGAUCCCCGAGCUCGUAACGCGUCUCCAAAAUCUAUAAAAACAAAUGGACAAAAACAAUCAAAGUAAGCUUUUAUAGCUUAGUAAGUCUAUAGCAUAUCUAAAAUACAUAUAAAAGAAUCAUAUAAUUCUUAAAAUAAAUUUAUUGAAAUCACAAUUAUCAAUUAUAAUUACUAAUCGAACAUUGCUAUAUUAAGUCAUCUUGUUUAAAUCUAAAAGGAUGUGUAUUUAUCUAAUACACAUGAACGGACAAAUGUAUAUACAUUAUAUGCAUAUAAUCAAUUUACUAACAUAAUCAUUAAUUGCAUAUACGGAUUUCUAUAGUACUUAUUGUUCGCACUUCAUCGGAUCCAUUUAAAUAUAAUUGUUCAAAUACAUAUACCAAAAGCAUAAUAAUUUUAUACUUGAUCAACUAUAAGUGCCGAAUGCACAUAUACACCUAUACCCACCUAUGCCGAAUGCAUACAUAUAUACACAUAUAUAUAUAUCCAACAAUUUCAUGACAACCGAUAUAUAUAUACAUACUCACUAUUCACAAGGACUCGAACGAUUAUAUACUCAUCAACCACCUUAAAACAAUGUUCAUAAACUUAUCCAUUUCAUAUAAACAAAAGCAUAUAUAUUUAUACCCAAUGCAUAGAAUCACUUAAUUUAAACAGAUUCACUGGCACUUCACCUGAUAGGCUUAUAGUUUAAUUCAGUUCACCGGCACUUAGCCUACUAGGCUUGUAGCCUGAUUCAGUUCACCGGCACUUAGCCUGCUAGACGUAUAGUCCGAUUCAAUUCACCGGCAUUUAGCCUGCUAGACGUAUAGUCCGAUUCAAUUUACCGGCACUUAGCCUGCUAGAUGUAUAGUCUGAAUAAUUUUACUGGUAAUAAAUCCGAUAGUCAUUUCUCCGUUGAAAUUGAAUUAUAUUCAAUUCUGCGUAACAAACAUGCACUUAAAACAUACUUGCAUAAUUCACAACAAUAAUUUCAGUCCAAAGAGCUGUAAUUCAUAUUCGAACUAUAUAUAUAUAAAUCCAUACAUAAAAAUUCAGCUCAAAAUUUAUAACCUAUAUCUUUGAACCACAUAGGUACAUGAAAUUCAAACAACAAAAUCCAGCUCAAUAACUUCAUGAUUCAACCUAACAAAUUUAUGUAUAUAACUUUUUAUCUAAUUUCAAUACAAUAACUUAUACAUGUACGUAUAUACAUAUUUGAAUCUAACAUAUACAUAUAUAAUUUCAUACUUAAAUAUAUUCAAGACUUAUUCAUGAGUAUACAUAUAUAUUACAACUCACAUGUACAUAUAUAUACACAUUCAUACCUUUAACCAAGUCCAAGGCUUUAUACAUGUAUAUGCUUAUAUAUAUAUAUAUUCGGACCUUAUGUUUACAUAUAUAUUAUAUAUAAAUACCUUUGAUUAAAAACAAGUAUUUAUACAUAUAUAUAUUUUCGAACAUGAUACAUACAUAUAUUUAUAUCAUUCAUACUUAAACAAAAUUCAAUCCAUAUACUUUCAAUUUCAGCUCACCAAAUUACUAUAGAUAUACAUGCAUAUAUACUGAUUUAAUAACCUCAAAUUGCUAAUAGACUUACCUCGGAUAUCAGCGGACACGAUCGACUAUUCGAUUACUUUCGUUUUUCCCCGAUCCAAAUUCGUUUUCUUCGUUUUUUUAUCUUAAUUAGACCUAGAGAUAGCCGAACCUUGUUGUUCUCUUUUCUUUUCUUUUCUUUUUCUUUUCUAUAUUCGGCCAAGAUGAAGAACAUGGCAUUUAAAAUUUGUUAUAUUAAACAUAUAUUAGCCUUAUUUUUAAUUUACUAUAUUAACCUUUACAUAUAUAUAACAUAUAUAAUAAGGUUACAUUAGUCCUUUGCCACCCACUAACUUACAUAGUGGACUAAUUGCAUAGUAAAACCUCUAAAUUAUAAAGACAACAACAAUUAGGUGCUUUUAUAAUUAACCCCUAAAUUUUCAUUUUACGCGAUUAAGCCCUUUUAUUAAAUCGGACACUUAAACAACGAAAUUAAAACACGAAAAUUUCACACAAUCAAAUGCAUACAAAAUAAUAUUAAUAAUAUUUUUCUAAUUCAAAUUUGUGGUCCCGAAACCAGUAUUCUGAUUAGGGUCAAAAACUGGGUUGUUACAACUCUCCCCCCUUAGGGAUUUUCGUCCCCGAAAAUCUUACCGGUGAAUAGGUUUGGAUAACGCUCUUUCAUUGUAUCUUCUGACUCCCAAGUUGCUUCUUCAACCCCAUGUUUAUGCCACAACACUUUAACUAACGGAAUUUUCUUAUUUCGUAAUUCUUUGAUCUCACGAGCCAGAAUGCUAAUCGGUUCUUCCUCAUAUGUCAUAUCAGAGUUAAUUUCAAUCUCCGUCGGACUAAUCACAUGUGAAGGAUCAGAUCGGUAUCCACAGAGCAUUGAAACAUGGAAUACGUUAUGAAUCUUUUCUAACUCAGGCAGUAACAUCAAUCUAUAACCAACCGAUCCAACUCGCUCUAUAAUCUCAUACGGUCCAAUGAAUCUCGGACUCAAUUUGCCUUUACGACCAAAUCUGAGUAUUUUCUUCCACGGUGAGACUUUUAAAAACACUUUAUCCCCGAUCUGAAAUUCUAUAUCCUUUCUUUUCAAAUCCGCAUAAGAUUUCUGACGAUCCGGUGCUGAUUUCAGACUGUCCCGAAUCACUUUCACUUUCUGUUCGGUCUCUUUAAUCAAAUCAACCCCGUGUAUCUUAUUUUCACUGAGCUCAGUCCAAUACAGUGGUGUACGACAUUUACGACCGUACAAAGCCUCAUAAGGUGCCAUUUUGAUACUAGAUUGAAAGCUAUUAUUAUAAGCAAAUUCAAUCAAAGGUAAGUAUCGUUCCCACGUACCUUCAAACUCGAGAAUGCAACAUCUCAACAUAUCCUCAAGUAUCUGAAUGAUUCGUUCAGAUUGACCAUCUGUCUGCGGAUGGAAAGCUGUGCUAAAAUGUAGUUUCGUACCUAAAGCUGUGCUAAAAUGCACACAAAAUAAACACACAAAAUAAUAUUAAUAAUAUUUUUCUAAUUCGGAUUUGUGGUCCCGAAACCACUAUUCCGAUUAGGGUCAAAAACCGGGUUGUUACAAUUCUGCUUCUUCUGCAUCAUCAUCUUUGGUAGCUCGAAAUUCUUCAGCCCCUUACUUCCUAAUCUUAUCAACAGGUGGUCUCUCACUGAUGACUAUACCUGCAGCUAGGGAAACUACAUGAGGAACCUGUGAAUCCUGAAGGGGUGGAGGUCUUACACCCGGAUUCAUACGAACGAACUCGGCAAACCAAUCAUUCAUGGCUUGGAAGAAGGCUUCUCUAGCUCCUCCUCCCUGUCUAACUGAUGCAGGUCUUUCACUAACGUUAACAUCUAGUGGCACCGUCCUUUCUGCGGAAGUAGGCGCAUUACUCUCUACUUCAUCUGCACCAGCUCGUUCAGGAUCCGUAACUAUAAAAUAAAAUAUUUUAAAAUCGUCAAGAGUCGUCACACUAUCAAAAUAUAUAAGUAUGGCAUGUAUAGGUAGACUUUUAUUCAUACUGCAUAUUUCUGAGAACCGAUUAAACCUGCUCUGAUACCAACAAAUGUAACACCCCUUACCCAAGACCAUUUUCGGAGUCGAGCACGAGGCAUUACUUAUCUUAUCUUACUAACUCGAAGCAUAAAAACUUAUUUUAAAAAUUAAUUUCACUAUUUACAGCAAUCUGUCCAAUCGAGCAGCAGUUACUAAAUUAAUAAUAACUCGAGCUACGGAACUUGAAAUUUAACUUCGUAAAUUUUCACUGAAACUAGACUCAUAUAUCUUCCUACCAUAAAGUUUUUAGGAUUUUUUGUUUAGCCAACUAGUACAGUUUAUUAGUCAAAUUCUCCCCUGUUUCACCAAUCGAUUGCCUUGACCUCUUAUCACUAAAAAUAAAAUUUCUCAAUGUGGGAUUUUCGUAUAGUGCUACUGCUUGCUUCUACAAAAAAUAGACUCAAUAAGGAAUCUAUAAAUAUAAACUACAGCUCCUAAAUAUUUUUUUAAAAAUUUUAAUGAUUUUCUAAACUCAAAAUAGGGGUCACCAAAAACUGUUCUAACCCUGUCUCACCAAAAUUCACAUAUCUUAAAAUAUAAAAUUCAUUUUGCUACACCGUUAUUUUUAUCUGAAAAUAGACUCAACAAGAUUUAAAUUCAUAUAUCAUUCACUCUUUAAUUCAUUUUAUACUAUCCUAGGUGAUAUUUCAAAGUCACGUCGUUGUUGCUGCCUGAAUUCUGUUUCUUUGCAAAAUUGUACCAUUUUAUGAUUUCCAUGCAUAGUUUAUCACUUACACUCUUAUAACAACAAACACUUCCAUACUUCACCAUUUUAGCAACCAUUCAUCAUCAACUACUUACAUAUCAUUCUUUAUCAAGAUCAUAAAUACAAACAUUUAAAAUAACUAAAUCCCUAUACAUUCCAUACUCAACAUGGUUCAACAUAAAAAUACCGAGUUGCUGUGGCUGAUAGUGUGGACGAUCUCCGACUUCUUUAGGAUCCUUGAAGUAACCUUGCAAUACUAUAAGAGAAAGAGAAAUAAAAGACGUAAGCAUAAAGCUUAGUAAGUUUACUAGCAAAUAAAUAACAAUAUUUAACUCAGAUAAUUAAACUCAAGUGUCUAUAUCUCUAGUUUACUCUUUAGUUAAUCCCAUUCUAGUUCUCUUGCUUGUUUACUUAGUAUACUUGUGUGCAUAACUUAAUCUUCUCUUGCUGUAUCGUUGAAUAUCAAUUGAUAAUAUAAUAAGUUCUUAACUCUUAUAACUUACCUGAACUUGCCAUUUAUGUUUUUAACUGAACUUUCCUGAACAUGAUUCGUUAUUUAGCCCGUUGAGCUACAUUGGAACAAUAAGGAUACUCGGGUCUCUUCUGAUAAUAACAUGCCAAAGCCAUGUCCCAGACAUGGUCUUACAUGGGAUGUACUCAUGUCGGUGCCCAUUCCAUGUCCCAGACAUGGUCUUACGGGGGACCUCUCAUCUCGGUGCCAAUGUCAUGUCUCAGACAUGGUCUUACAUGGGACCUCUCAUCUCGGUGCCAACACCAUGUCCCAGACAUUGUCUUACAUGGGACCUCUCAUUUCGGUGCCAACGCCAUGUCCCAGACAUGGUCUUACAUGGGACCUCUUUAUCCAAAUGUCAUGACAUUCGUAUCCAGUAUUAUCCUUAUGUAUCAACGGGACUUUUUAAUUUUAAUUCUCUAUCAUUUCAUGCUUGGAUAAUCAUCAAAUAAAUUCAUGAAAUAAAUUCAUAGUUGCUGGAAAAUAGCAGCAUUAAUAAAAAUUAUUGAAAUAUUUCAUUUAUUUACCGUAAACUUACCUUGGUACCGAAUAUAGCCCAAUUCACCAACUUAGUCUUCAACUUUAUUCUUUCCUUUGUCUAACCUCGAGUUUCAUUCUUCUUGAUCUAAAAUAGAAAAUUUAACUUAUUUAAUACUCACAUUCAUCAAAACAGCCCUCGACUCUAACUUUUCAAAAUUAUGAUUUUGCCCCUAAACUUUUACAUAAUUACAUUUUUCCCCAAGGCUCGAAAAUUCAACUUCAUCUCAUAUUCUUAUGUUUUAUGGCAUGCUGAAUAUUUUUCUCUUCUAUGACAAUAUCAAAUUCUCACUCUAACACUUACUUAUGUACAUUAGAGAUUUUUACCGAUUAUGUCAACUUACUCGUUUUUGCUUAAAAUCGGCUAACAAAAGUUGUUUAACAUAAUUUAUAGCUUCAUAUUCUAUCAUAAAACAUCAAAAUAAACACUUUUCACCUAUGGGUAUUUUUCCAAAUAUAAACCCUAGGUUAAAUUAUUGCUAGAAUAAGCUAAAUUAAGUUACCGGGACUCCAAAAACGUAAGGAACAUUAAAAACGGGGCUUGGGAUCACUUACUAUGGAGCUUGGAAGCUUGAAAACCCUAAAUAUGGCUUACCCCCUUGCUGAUUUCGUCCAAAUGAAGAAGAUGAGCAUAAUUUGUCAUCUUUUUCCCUUUUAAUUCAUUUUAAUUACUAGAUUACCAAAUUGCCCCUAACUUAAAAAUUUCCUAUUUCACUUAUCUCAUGUCCAUUUUUGUCUAAAAACUUAACCAAUGGUCUAAUUACCAUAUAAAGACCUCCAAUUUAAAGUUUCAUAACAAUUGGACACCUCUAACAUGUAGAACUCAACUUUUGCACUUUUUGCAAUUUAGUACUUUUGACUAAAUUGAGUGCCCAAACUUCAAAAUUUUCGAAUAAAAUUUUCAUGAAAUCAUUUUGUGAAAUCAUAGACCAUAAAAAUAUAAGAAAAAUAAAAUUUUCCUCAUCGGAUUUGUGAUCCCGAAACCACUGUUCCGAUAAUCUUAAAUUUGGGCCAUUACAUGAUCACCUUUUUACUAGCUCAUACAUCUCCUACAUCAGACCUUACAUGCAUGCUUACCAAACUUUAUUCUUUUUAACAAAACUUUAUACAUAUCAUCGUAGCACAUCUUUCAUCUUUACUAAACUCAUAUUUUUACCAAUUUCUGUAGACAUCAUCAUCAUCAUCCUAUAUAUAUGCUUCUUGUUUGAACAGUUCAUAUCAAAGAGUCAAGAUAGAGACCCACUUGACACUCACCUACUGCAGUUCAAAGCUCUAAACUUAACCAUCCUUCUCAAACCAGCAGUAAAAACUGCUUAUAGAACAUAGAAUCACCAUUAAAAACCCAUUUACAUACAAAUUACUAUCAUCUUAAUCACUUUUCCACUGUUAAUUUAUAAAUAAGUGUUAAGUAGUAAAUAAAUAAAAAAAUUAACUAAGUUUUCAAAAAAAAAGUCACUGUGACGAGAAGAAUGUUAAAAUUAAUUGGUGUUUGUUAACUCAUAUGUUUUUCUAAAAAUGGGUUAAGUUUUCUUCUGAAAUAAACAAAUGUUUUAAAAUGAUUGUUUUAUAAACUCCGAUCGUACUAUCCCAUCUUGGUGGCUGAUGUAAUAUCCCAAAUUCAGGUCUAACAUCUAAGUCGGGUUGGAUAGGUUACAAUAUAUAUAGAAAGAUUGAUAAAUAAUGCAAACUUGAAUACAAGCAAAGAAAGAAAUCAAUCAAUGUGAAUGACUAACAAGUUUAAAAUCAUAUAUUUGCAUUAUAUUUUGUAAAGCACAAGAUUGUCAUGGAAUUAGACAAUUUGUUUUGAUAAUGGUUAUAUUUUAUAUAGAUUUACUUUUAUGCACUUUCAUAUUGAGUUGAUCAAAAGUUUUGAAACUUUAUAGAAAAUUUGAAUGAAAGAGCAUAUUGAUAUAUAUGCUAUCUUGAGUGUUGAAUUAAGCAUUCUUUAGUAAAAGAGUGUACAUUUCGCACAUGGUAGGUGUGUUGGUUUCUUAUAUAUUAAUUAAGCACAAAUUAAAGAAAAAUAAUAUAUAUCACCAUAGUGUUGUAAUAUUUUGUAUAAUUUGUGAAAUUAUACAAGCAAAUAAGUUUACCUAUCUUGUUAAAUAAAACUCAUUAAGUUGGUUCUUAAUCUUGAAGAAUUAAAUAGGUUGGCUUCUUUAUUCAUUUUAUCCAACUACAAGUUAGAUUAAAGUUGUGGAAAUAGAAUGGUUGAAAAUUUGUGUUAAUGAGAAUUAGAGUUAUGGCCACAACUGAUGCCAACUAUUUCCUAAAAACAGGGAAUGAUGUCCAAAAACAUGCUGUAAAAUAAAAAUUUGGACAUGUUAGAAUAUGAAUUUAUUAUAUUAUAGUUUCAAUGUAAUACCCUUAUCCCAUCUCUGUUGCCGGAUUAGGAUUUCAGAGUAUUACUGAGAAAAAUAGAACAUUUAACUUUCCAACAGAAACAAUUGUACAAUUAAAUACCAACAUAUAACAAUUGAAUCUAAUCAUGGCAAAUAUUACACUUUUGGACCUUGAAUCGAGCCUAUGGGGCCCUAGAAACAGUUUAGGAACAAUCUGGGAUCAAAUCAAAACAAAUCAGAACAUUUUGAAAAAACAUAAAAAUUUAGGAAUACAGAGGUCACAGGCCAUAUGGCCAAGUCGUGUGACAUAGCCUAGAUUGUGUAAACAUCCGAAGUCAGGACACAUAGCUGUGUCCCAGCCUGUGUGUCUACUCAUGUGUAUAUUUGAAAUAGGGUCACACAGUCGUGUUGCAGACUGCCAAACGUGUGUGUAUUCAAAGUGAGGUCGCAAGACCAUGUGGCCGACCGUGCCACAAACUGUUUUGAGACACAAGGUCAUGUCUCAGACCGUGUAAAACAUGCACUUAAAAUAAUAAAUACACACGACCGUAUCUAGUGACUAUGUGUGGCACAUGGUCGUGUGGUAGCUUGUGUCUCAGGUCGUGUGCUCCAUUUUUAACCCCUAAAUCAAGCCAAUCAAGCAUCAUUUCUUAUACAACAAGACAUACCAUAUCUAACUAAUUUUACAUGGUUAAAAACACAUUCAAAUCAACAAAUACAUGCCAAAAUUUCGUUCAUCCUAUGUCUAACCAAUAUGCCAUCAAAAGGCACCUCAAUCCAUACAUCCAUUCAACUCAAGAACAAAGUUACAAUAAAUGAACAAGUUUUAUCAUUAGUUAACCAUUCAUGCCUAAAACCACUAAUCUAAUUGACCAAAAUAUGGGCAUACUCAACAAGCAACCAUUUCAAAACAUCAUCAUCAAAUCUUUAUAUACCAUUUAUGAUCAACUUAAUUAUAUUCAACACAAGUACACAUCCAAAAUCAAGCACAUCACUAAGUAUGCCAAAAUAACUUAACUAUUUACAUAUCAACAAUAAGACACCAUAUCCCAAAAUGAAAUAAAAAAGCUACCAAGAUGGUUGGAUAGUGUGUGCUCCAAAACAAUUCAUCCGGUUAGUCCACAAAACGCCAAAUCAACCAAUAUAGAUAAACAAAAAGGUAAGUUCUAAUUCUUGAUAUUCAAAUGCAAGAUCACACCACAUUAGUAUAUAUUUAUUUACAUCAUAAAUGAUACCUUCCAAAAUUCAUAACCAAUUCAUCAUCCACAAUUUCUCAAUACAACCAUUAAUAUUUAUAAACAAGAACUUCAUAGUAACAUUUAUCAUUUAGUAGUAAUAUAAUUAUCCAACAAAAUUGAACAAAUAAAUGCGUUUUAAGUCAUUUGAUACAUAGCCUGCUGAACUAUAGUAACUUGACUCGGAUACUCAUGAUACUACAUCACACCAAAGGUAUCAAUGAUGCAUAACAGAGGCACCGAAGUGCAGACAAAUGCAUGAAUGUGCAAUCAGAGGCACCGAAGUGAAAACAGAUGCACCAAAGUACAAACCCGUACGAGUGCGCAUUAAAACCCUAUUGGCAUGCUAAUCGUAUCCUAAUUGUUUACUACGUUCAACUGGGCAUUAUACUUAAAAUCAUAAUAUCAAUAAAUCCAUCAUUUAGAGGCACUUCUUAUUUCCGUACACAUACUAUAAAUAUGUAACUUUCAUUUCAAUAAUAUGCAAUAACAAUAAUUACCAUCAUCAAACAUUCAUUUUCUAUUUGUACUUAAUUGCAAAAUUUAAUAAUAUAUAAGUAACUCAUGAAAUUUCACAUAUAUACCAUUAACUAGAAAACAAUAAUAUAAUCAUAAAGUGACACACAUAUACAUAUUAUUACACUAUGAACUUACCUAAAAUCUACUUUCGAUUAAUACACAGGGACUACUCCGCUAUUUUUUCCCUUUUCUCGGUUAUUGUCUUUUUGACUCGGUUCUUGAUCUAUAUAGUAAUUAAAUUCAAUUUAUGAAAUUCACAUACAUUUAAAACUCAAUUCAAUGCAUGAUACCCUUAUGUUUUCAUUAUUUUCACAUUUUUCUUAAACUUUUACAUUUCUCACAAUUUAGUCCCUACAAAAUUUAACAAAAUUUUACAAUUUUCCAUGUUAGUUGAACUUCUUUCGAAACUAGUACAAUCCCUAAUUAUUCACAAUUCACAAAAUUUCUAUGCAAAUUUUAAUAAUUCACACAUUGAUCAUUAAACUCAAAAUUAACACAAAUUUUUUUACAAAAAUAUCCUAAUCAACAUUCAAAUAUGUACAACUACCAUUAAAAAUCAUGAACACCAAAAUUCCAUUACUAACCAAUCCCUAAAACUUUAACAUUUUUAUAAUUCCAUCCUCGGGUUUAAUAGUUUAAGUUACAACGAGUUCAAAAACGUAAAAAUUAUUAAAAACAGGUAAGAGAAACACUUACAUGCACCAAUUUGCUAACCGAAACUUCAAGCUCCAAAAAUGGAGUUUUUUUUUUCUUUUUCGGUGGGAGAGAGUUGAGAAGAUGAUGAUACCAUUUUUUUCUUUUGUUUCUUUUCUUUAAUCAAACUAAUUACUAAAUUAUCCUUUUAAUCUAAACUAAAUUAUUAACAUAGCAUGUCCGUAAUUAUCCAUUAACUAACCAUAAGGUUUAUCUAUCAACCAAGUCCAUUACUUUAGUUUUUCUUUAAAAAUCAAGCACAUUUAACAAAUAGAAGCCACUUUAGCAUCUUUUACAAUUUAGACCUUUUUACUAAAUUAACUAAACAGACAUUAAAAUUUCUUAGCCAAAUUUUAUUAUGACUCCAAUAUAACUCUAUAAGCAUAAAAUAAACAUAAAAUACUAACUCAUUUGUCGAAAUUGUGGUCCUGAAACCACCUUUUUUGAUACCACUGAAAAAUGAGAUAUUACAUUAAAUCUCUAAUUUAUGAUAAUGAAUGUGAGAGAAUAAUUUUCUUUGUUUAGAAAUACUAAUCAUUUUCUUUGUUUAGUAAUACUACAACUAGAAUGUGUUUCGACCCUAUUAUUAGAAACUAAUAAUGGAAACCCAACUUUUAAUUAGAAACCUCUAAUUUUAAAGUUUAAUAGGUAACACCCCGAAUUUUGGCCCUAGAAGAAAUAUGUUUUGAACAAGGGAACAGUUAGGAGACUGCACAUAAAUAUUUAGUUGUGCAAGGAAGUGACAUAAAUGAAUGUCUACUUCAGUGGUUGAGUGAUUUAGGAGUGUUUGGAACUGUCUGAGAAGUCAGGGAUUCAAGCAUUGCUUAUGCAAAAUUUUUAUUUUAAGUGAAUAAAAUCAUUGGAUCUAGAUAGUAAGUUCUUAAAUUAUUGUGGUUAAAAUAUGAUGCAAAAGAGUUGUUGGUCUAGUGGUAAGGGGUGUGUGGAGUGCACAUAGGGCCUAAGGUUCGAGUGGUGGCGCAUCAGAAAGGAAAUAUUUAUUUUGCUACUUGAGCUGUUUAGGUAGUGGAGUUGGACUGAAACACAACUAAGGGGAGUUUGCAUAGAAUUUGAAUGGAGUUGUUGGGGGAGUUGAGGAGAAACCGGUAGAAUAAUUUAAGGAGGGAUAAGGGGAGAGAUUUUAGGAGAAAAUCAAGGGAAGUGAGGGGAGUGAAGAAGUGUGCCGAAAGUGGACUUUGAUACUCAGGAAAUUUGGCCAGAAGGGAUACUGCUCAUUUUGGUAUACUUUUCAUUUCGGUUUUGUGUAGUGUUUCUCUCUCUUUUUGCUUUUUGGUGCCGAAUUUUUGCUAAGAUUUCGAGUACCACUCGGGUUUUUCUUUUGCUGCUUUUUUCUUUUAUCAUUUCUUUUGUUUUGGCCGAAUUUCUUUUUAGUUCCCUCCUUUGUCGAAUUCUUUUCUCUCUUCUCUUUGUUGCUUCUUUUCAUUUCUCUAUUUUUCCAAACCUUGACCGAACAGUGUUGAAGUAGUUCUGUGUUCCAUCUUUUGUCUAAAAUGCUCUUCUUCCUCUACUCCUUUUGAUCAACUAUUUGUCGAAUAUUGCCUUCUCUCCCCUUUUAUCUCUUUAAAUUUAUUUUCGGCUUGACAACAAUUCUCUAACAGUUCAAAUUUCUUGAGGAGUGAAAAAGUAUCGCAUAAUAUUAAAGUCAUCGAAACCUUUCUCUCAUCACUCGAUCAAAGGUAAGUAUGUAGGCUAGCAUUCUAAAGUGUAGGCUGAGUGCUUUCUAUGGUUUCAUAAGUUAUUAUGUUUGGAUUUAAACCACAUGAAUAAACAAUCCUAUUUAAUAAAAUCCGUUUGUAAUGCAGAUAUCCAUCAAAGAGAUUGUAGUCAACCUUCGUCAGUGAUAUAAGUAGGCUAAGUCACAUUUGACAAUCGAGGCUUUGGUGCUCGUGGAUCUUAGAGUGUUUUCACAAUCAGGUGUGUAAACACCCCACUGUAACCGUAGAACGACAAAAAGCUAAAAGGCCAAAAAUACGGUGUUUGAGACCACACAGGCGUGCGAUCUCUCAUGUGGUAAGCCCAACCCACAAAUCAUGGCCGAUAGACUGUAGAGGCCUCCAUGAACAUUUCCAUGGGCUUAGGCCGUAAUGGGCCACGUUGGGCCGAAAUGGGUCGUGUGGGUUCAAUAGGCUCGUGGGCACCAUACAGAUGAGAACCACGAUUUGUGAAAAAUACUGGACUGGGCUAUGAAGAUCUCAUAGCCGUGGAAAAAUCUGGGCUGAACAGGCCGCACAAGCGUGCGGGCCUACUUGGGCCGAGUAAUGGGCCUUAGGCCCAUUUGUACCAUUAUGACCAUUUAGGUUACCUGAGUCGCUCGAGGUAACUACGGACCUUUCGAGAGGUCGAUAUCUGCACCAAGACCCAAAAUAGGUAAAAUGAUCGAAAUACCCCUAUAGAGUAAAAUGACCGAAAUACCCCCAAAGGAUAAAAUGAUUGAAAUACCCCUAUAAGGUAAAACGAUCGAAAUACCCCCGUAGGAUAAAAUAACUAUUAUACCCCUAGAAGAUGAAAUGACUGUUAUGGCCUUAUGCUAUGUAUGACUGUUUUGCUCUAUGAUAUGUAUGACUAUGGUUGAGCAUGACAUUUUUCAUACACGUAUGAUAUUAUGUCAUGAUAUAUUGCAUGGGGAUGGAUUGUUAUAUUUGGAGGAAGUGUACUGUACUGACAAGGUUGCACGGGUCGCCCAAGACGACUGUGGACCUACUGAUGGCUAUAUGCCAUUUAUUUUACUGGCAGCUUUGCUGCAAUACUGUUUAAUGCUGCAACUGGUGCUAAUCUUGGUGUGUUUGGAUGGAUGGGUAGAUUUUAUCCCCCAUAUGGUGUGUUUGGCGGAACUGUAACACCCUUAACCUGAAUCCAUUCUGACAUUGUCUCACAAAAUUUAUUAUAUCUCAUAGUUUACAAUUUUAUUACUUACACCAUUUCUUCCAUGAGAAACUAGACUCAAUAAGUUUUAAUUCUAUAUUUUAUUCAUACUCUAAUUCGAUUUUCAUAAUUUAUGGUGAUUUUUCAAAGUGAGCCUACUGUUGUUGUCCAAAACUAUUUUAGUACAAGAUGUUUAUUACCAUGUUUAUAACACCCUUAUUUUCUUUCUCUACACUAUUUCUCAUCCCUUUCUCUUAUUUUCUCUUCACUUACAUAUUAAGAACAUAGGACCAUAUAUACAAAAAAACUUUACACUAACAUCAUUUCCAUACUUUUUCAAUAAUAUCAAACUUAAAAAUAUACUAAAAUCUUGAUGUACUUACCUUGUCAUAUUGAUUUUAAUCUUUAACUUGAUUUUCUCUCUCCUCCAGCUUCUAUUUCUUGAAUCUAACUUGAUAUUAUAGCUCCCCAUAGUCUCCUUGUAAUCUUUCUCUCUUGAUGGAUAUGGAAAUUCUUUUGAUUUCUAGAUGAAAAUAGUGAAUUUUUGGUGAAAGGACUAAAUUGUAAAGAAAGCAAAACUUUCUUUCUUCUCUUCUCCUCUUAACGUGAAUUGCAUGGAAAAGAUGGUGGGUUGGUUCCUUUUCAUCUUUCUUUCCACAUAUAUAUACUAAAUAAUAAAAUAAUAAAAUAUCAUUUAAAAAUCAAAUUAAAAUACUAAUAAACUAAUAUUUAUUUGUUUAUUUAAUCUAAAAUAUCUCCAACAUCAUCAUUAUCUUCUAGAUUUCUCUCUCUUCUAAUUGACCAUUUUGCCCUUCAUGAUAUUUUAAAAUUCCAUCCUUGAGUCAUCACUUAAUUUCGUAAAAUUUCAAUUUAGUCCCUCAAAAUUCCUCACCUUUUUUCAAUUUAGUCCUAAUACAUCCAUUUUCCUUAGUUUCUAGAUCAUUCCACCCUUAAAAUAUUUACACCAUUGGUCCUUCAAUUUUUUCAUAUUUACACUUUAACCCCUCAAUUUUUGAGUAUUUACUCUUGGGCAACAAAAUUUUUACGAUUUAAUCCUUUCUUGAGGUAAUAUGUCAUAAUAUACUUCCCAAUGUUGACAUAACUCCAAAAUUCCCUUUUUUGUCGCUUUAUUUCCUUAUUUUUUUAUAUCAAAGAUAAUAUCUUACUGUAAAAAUUUUUUUGGGGGGUAUUACAUUUCUCUCCCCCUCAAAAUAAAUUUCGUCCUCGAAAUUUCCUUAUUUUCUUUUGAUCAUGAACUUAUUUUUUCUUUAAUUCUAUAGUUCAUUUUUUUUGCAUAUAUUUACUUAGCUUAUCAUUUGUGUCUAUUCUUUAUUCUUUCAUUUCACAAUUUAUUUUUAAUUUAAUAUUUCAAACAUGAAUCAGAGAUAAACUUUUACCUUGUAACUAAAAUUAUUUACCUUUUUACCUGAGGCCCAGUGGACUAAAUAGAACACGUAGGAUAUAUGAAAUUGAUACAGAAGUGCUCUGUUAUACAUCAUUAAACAGAGAGCACUAAAGUGUUAUACGGGAGCAUAAAUGUGCUAAUAAUUGGAGAGCACUAGCGUGCUAUUAAUCAGAGAGUGCGCUAAGGUUCCUUAAUGAUAUACUACUAAUAUCCUAAUAGUUCUAAUCUCAUCUACUUGGGCAAAUUAUAUCAUGCAUGCAUACGACUUUUACACUUUGCGCAUAAUGCUUUUACAUACUUUACAAUUUAAACCUUGUACCAAUGAUUCGUAUAUUUAUACCUUCUCUACCUUUAAUACAUGUAAUAUAUUUCAAAAUUCACUAAUAAUCCAUAUAUAUCAUGUACUUCAUAUAUCAUUUUUACAUAUUAUGCAAUUUAGUCAUCAGCGCAAUAUUUCUUGUAGCAAUAUGUUUUUCUUUUAAUGACACAUAUAACAUUCAUCAUCGACAUGUAUUAUAAAACAUUUAUUCAUACUUUCAUGAGUUCCAAUUCAUCCUAAUCAAUUUUUUUUACUCAUAUACUUGAGUAUCACUUUCAACAUUAUCAGAAUUAGCUCGGUUAGGAAAACAUCUCUGUUUAUAAGUAAAACAAUUCUCAUCAGACUCGAGAGAUAUCACACUAUCACAGGUUACAUAAUGGCAUGCAUUUCUAGACUUCACAUAAGCUACGUUUGGUCCAAGAACCGACUAAAUCGUAGCUCUGAUACCAAUAAAUGUAACACUCUUAACCCGAAUCCAUUCUGACAUUGUCUCACAAAAUUUAUUAUAUCUCAUAGUUUACAAUUCUAUUACUUACACCAUUUCUUCCAUGAGAAACUAGACUCAAUAAGCUUUAAUUCUAUAUUUUAUUCAUACUCUAAUUCGAUUUUCAUAAUUUAUGGUGAUUUUUCAAAGUGAGCCUACUGUUGCUGUCCAAAACUAUUUUAGUACAAGAUGUUUAUUACCAUGUUUAUAACACCCUUAUUUUCUUUCGCUACACUAUUUCUCAUCCCUUUCUCUUAUUUUCUGUUCACUAACGUAUUAAGAACAUAGGACCAUAUAUACAAAAACUUUACAUUAACAUCAUUUCCAUACUUUUUCAAUAAUAUCAAACUUAAAAAUAUACUAAAAUCUUGAUGUACUUACCUUGUCAUAUUGAUUUCAAUCUUUAACUUGAUUUUCUCUCUCCUCCAGCUUCUAUUUCUUGAAUCUAACUUGAUAUUAUAGCUCCCCAUAGUCUCCUUGUAAUCUUUCUCUCUUGAUGGAUAUGGAAAUUCUUUUGAUUUCUAGAUGAAAAUAGUGAAUUUUUGGUGGAAGGACUAAAUUGUAAAGAAAGCAAAACUUUCUUUCUUUUCUCCUCUUAACGUGAAUUGCAUGGAAAAGAUGGUAGGUUGGUUCCUUUUCAUCUUUCUUUCCACAUAUAUAUACUAAAUAAUAAAAUAAUAAAAUAUCAUUUAAAAAUCAAAUUAAAAUACUAAUAAACUAAUAUUUAUUUAUUUAUUUAAUCUAAAAUAUCUCCAACAUCAUCAUUAUCUUCUAGAUUUCUCUCUCUUCUAAUUGACCAUUUUGCCCUUCAUGAUAUUUUAAAAUUCCAUCCUUGAGUCAUCACUUAAUUUCGUAAAAUUGCAAUUUAGUCCCUCAAAAUUCUUCACCUUUUUUCAAUUUAGUCCUAAUACAUCCAUUUUCCUUAGUUUCUAUAUCAUCCCACCCUUAAAGUAUUUACACCAUUGGUCCUUCAACUUUUUCAUAUUUACACUUUAACCCCUCAAUUUUUGAGUAUUUACUCUUGGGCAACAAAAUUUUUACGAUUUAAUCAUUUCUUGAGGUAAUAUGUCAUAAUAUACUUCCCAAUGUUGACAUAACUCCAAAAUUUCCCUUUUUGUCGCUUUAUUUCCUUAUUUUUUUAUAUCAAAGAUAAUAUCUUAGUGUAAAAAAAAAUUUUUUGGGUAUUACAGGAACAGAGUGGUGUGUAGAGGCUGGAUUGGGUAGGAUUUCUAACUGCAUAUCUACACUAAUUAAUGAUUUUGUAUUGUUACUACAUCGAUUAAUGAUAUUACAUACUGUUUACUGCAUGACUGAUAUUUGUUGCUGUUAUGGGCCAAGGCCCCACUGAUACUAUUACUGAAAUUGGGCAAAUGCCCUAUUGAUUAUUGGUAUUGUGAUGGGCUCAAGCCCAAUCGUUUAAUGUUACGGGAAAGGGCUUAGGCCCACACUGAACUGGACUGUUACUAUAACAGGCUCAGGCCCAAACUGUAUUUAUCUAUUGUUUAAUUGACUACUUACUUGUUAGGGGAUUGCACACUGAGUUUUCGUAAACUCAACCCGUUGUUUAACUGUACAGGUAAUCCCUAGUUGUAGUAGGGUCAGUGCUGCGAGGGACUCGAUGAUGGCCACACAACUGCAUCAGCUUUUGUUUUUAGCCUUUGAUUUAUAAGAAACUGAAUUUGGGUAUUUUUAUGUAAAAAGGCCUCUUUAAAGUUAUAAACUUUAAAUUGGGGUUUUUAUUUAUUUAGUUUGAUAUAAACUACUAGUUGUAGAAAAAGACGGGUUUUCAAAAGGUAAAUGUUUUCAAAGUUUCAAAAGGUAAAUGUUUUCAAAGACACCACGUUUUCGCAACAUUUCUAAAAAAAAACUUCCGCAAUGAAUGAGAUUUUGGAAAAUUUAUAACGUUUUAAAAGUGAUUAGCUUUUAAUGAUGCAUGCUUGGAAAUGAACAACCCGUUUUGGAAUCAUAGUUUAACAGCAAAAUGAUUAAUUGAUUUUAAAGAUUUCAACGACAACAAGUUUUACGCUAAACACCUUAAAGUGACACCGCCAGAUUCAACCAUAACUCCUAGGCCGGGUUUGGGGUGUUACAAUGUGUUUCAACCCUAUUAUUAGAAACUGAUACCCUAUUAUUAGAAACUGAUAAUGGAAACACAACUUUUAAUUAGAAACCUCUAAUUUUAAAAUUCAAUAGGUAAAAGCAAGUUAUCGUUAAGUGCCUGUGAUACGCUAGUAAAACUCAUUCUAGAAAAAAAAGUUUAAUGGAAACAAUUGUUAUCCAUUGCGUAUAGAGGAUGAAUUUGAAUACUAUUAAUUAAGUUCAUUGUUUAUUGUUUAAAUGUCUAAAGUAAGGGAGACAUUAAAAGAACUCUACCUUUAUAAACAUAAGAAGUGGUGCCACUUCAACAAGUAAAGGUAGGGUCUCUCUUGUAAAUGUUUAUUAUGAACAAGAUAAGCACAUGAUCAUUUUAGUGCUAAAAGUGAACAACCUCUGAUAGAAAUAUAAACGAAUAUUAUGUAUAGUGUAUUUCAACUUCUAAUACUAGGAGUUGUGGUUCAAUCUUCGGACACCGACAACUUAUUAAAACUUUGAAAAGCAUCCGCUUAUUGAUGGUUCAUAUUGAGAGGUAUCAUCUUUAAUGCAUAAUAUUUGUUUGAGUGAAUGACCAUAAAGUAUGGUACCAACAUUUAAACUAAGGGUGAUUGUUAGUAGUUUAUAAUUUUGGCAGUAAAAAUAUUUUAUUAUGUAGAAAAGUCUAAUAAAUUAUAAUUAUUGGUCAAAUAGUUGUGUUGUAAAGACAAUUUUUGUAUGUAAAGUUGUCUUAUAAACUUUAUGUAAAGUUGUGUUGUAAAACAACAAAAUUAUAUGAAAAUGUAUCUUAUUAAAAGAUACAUCCAUAUGAAAGGGUAUCUCAUGAAAAGAUACACCUAUUAGAUGUCUAUAUAAAAGAUUUUUCUGUUAGUUAUUUAAAUUGUUUUGCUUGGAGUGUUGAGGGCUUUGUUGUAUCUUGAAGGUAUUUUAAAAUCUUAAAGAAAGUGCUCUACACACCUUAAAGUCAUUAUAUUUUAUAACAUUAUUUUAUUUUUCUAACUUUUAUUUUCCUAUUAUUUAUUUUUCUAACAGCUAGAAUAUAGGAAAAUUAUUAUGUUUCUAGCUAUAUAUUGAAUACAAGUAUGUUGGUGUUUAGAACUCGAACUUUGAUGGUUGAUCGAGAGAUUUGAAGCAGAAAGAAGAGACGGGAAGUUUUAAGUAGAAAAAUAAUUGAAGACUGGAAUAUAUAAUUGAUUUGCACCUCAACUAUUUAAAUACAAAAGUUCAAGCUAAAAAUAGAAAAAAAAAGUUCUAAAAAUCUGCUAAAAAUCUGGUAACAAAAUAGCAAACAAAUCAAAAAUCUAAUCUCCUAAAGUCAAGGAGAAUUAUUCAAACUUAGUAACAGAAAAAAUUUAAAUGGCAGCAAUCUUAAACACAUGAUCUUAACACUCCUCCUUGUUUAGAUGCUACAAACUCCAAGUUUCUUCCUGAAGCUUUCAAACUUGCUAAGUGGCAAUGGUUUGGUGAAGAUAUCUGCAAUUUGAUCUUCAGAUUUGUAGUAACAAAGAGACACAUCACCACUCUUUUAAACUUCUCGAACAAAAAAUAACUUGAUGUUAAAAUGCUUAGUCUUCCCAUGAAAGACUGGAUUGUUAGAGAUUGCAAUGGCAGCCUGGUUAUCAACUAGAAUCUUUGUGCUUUGCUUCUACUCCAUGUUUAGAUCAACAAGAAUCUUCCUUAACCAGAGAGCUUGGUUAACUGUUGCUGUUGCAGCCAUAAAUUCUGCCUCAACAGUGGAUUGAGCUACAGUUUCUUGCUUCUUCGAGCUCCAAGAGAACAUGCCUGAUCCAAGGCAAAAACAAUAACCAGAGGUACUCUUCAUAUCAUCAGUUAAGCCACCCCAAUCACUGUUAGAGAAACCAAUCAACUUCAAUUCCCUAUGCUUUAAAAACUUUACUCCAUAAUUCCAGGUCCCCUUGAUGUAUCUGAUAACUCUUUUUGCAGCUCUCAUGUGAGUCUCAUUGGGACAAUGCAUGAAUCUGGAGAGAAUACUUACAGCAUUCAAGAUGUCGAGUCUGGUUGUUGUUAAGUACAUUAGACAACCUACCAAACUCCUGAACUCAGCUUCAAUGACUUUGGCAGAACCAUCAUCUUUGAUUAGCUUCUCUUUUUGAUUCAUAGGAGUACUCAUUGCUUUGCAAUCUUCCAUAUGGAAUUUUCUAAGUAUCUCCUUUGCAUACUUUCUUUGACAGAUGAACACUUCAUCUUGGCUUUAUUUGAUCUCAAUGCCAAGGAAAUAAGACAUCAGAUCAAGGUCUGUCAUUUCGAAGACAUUAUGCAUUUCCAAUUUAAACUGAUUAACUUGAUCGAUAUUGCUCCUUGUAAUCAAUAAGUACAAAUAAGCAAGCUUUUUCCUUUGAUUUCCUUAUCUUCUUUUCUUUUUGUGCUUUAAUCUGUGCCACAGUAGGAUUUGCUGGAAGAGGUGGGACCUCGUAAUCCUCUUCUACAGGUUCCCAAAGAUCCAAAGCCUCUAUGUAAGUCUCCAUGCGAACUGCCUACAUCUGGUAAUUGUCUCCAUCGAAGACUGGUGGUGCAGCAACUGAAAAACUGGACCCUCCUUCCAUAUUAACACGCAAAUAACCUAACAAAUCCCUCAAGAAAAUAGCUCUGAUACCAAUUUGUUGGUGUUUAGAACUCGAACUUUGAUGGUUGAUCGAGAGAUUUGAAGCAGAAAGAAGAGACGGGAAGUUUUAAGUAGAAAAAUAAUUGAAGACUGGAAUAUAUAAUUGAUUUGCACCUCAACUAUUUAAAUACAAAAGUUCAAGCUAAAAAUAGAAAAAAAAUGUUUUAAAAAUCUGCUAAAAAUCUGGUAACAAAAUAGCAAACAAAUAAAAAAUCUAAUCUCCUAAAAUCAAGAAGAAUUAUUCAAACUUAGUAACAGAAAAAAUUUAAAUGGCAGCAAUCUUAAACCCAUGAUCUUAACAAAGUACUACUUGGAAGCCAACACCCACAAACAUGAUAAAAGUUAAUUUUGAUGAGAGUUUUGACAUGGAAGCAAGAAAUGAGGAAGAGGGUAGUUAUGCAGCAUUGUGAUGAUUUUUUAGUCUGACUAUGCAACCAUCCAAUUUAGGGUGCAUUCUCCAUUGUGGUGAAAAAGCACUUAAAGAACAUUUGGUUUUUGCACUUAAAAUGUGAUGGAAAAAUGUUUUUCCACCCAAAUACAAAAACUAGGAUAUAAAUGUUUUUGACUUUUAGCUUUUAUGUUUGGAAGUGAAAAUUAUCAAAAUAUCAUUAUUUAUAUUAACUAUUUAAAUGGUAUAUAAAAAUUAGAUUAAUUUAUAUUUUAUAUAUCAUUAUAUUAAAUUAUUUAAAUAUUAUUUAUUAUUAUAUAUUUUAAUAAUUUAUAUAUCAUCUAUUUUACAAAUAAUUUAUAUUAAUUACUUAAAAAAUAUUUGGAACUUAUAUUUCAUGUAUCAUUAUAUUAAAUUAUUUAAAUAUCACAUAAUUUAACUAAUUUUUUACUUUCCACUAUCAUGUCUAAAGAAAAGGAUAUUUUAACUUUUAACAAGAAUUUUUUGUAGCAAUGGAGAACACCAAAAAUUAAUAAACACACUUUUUCAUAGUAAUUUUCAACCACACUUUUCAACCGCAACCCUAAUGAAGAAUUAAUCCUUACUAAAGUUACCGAAGCACUAGCUUCCACCGUAGCCAUUGAAAUGGCGCUCCAAUUGGGAUUGCAACACAUUAUUAUUAAAGGAGAUGCUCUCCAAGUGGUUUCGGAGUUGAAGGAAGACAAAGGAGACCUACCAACAACCGGACCUUGAUAGCAAAGAGUUGAAUACUUGCUAAACAGGUUCAGCAAUGUAGGUUUCAACACAGGAAGAGGCAUGCUAAUGAGGUGGCACAUCAUCUGACCAAACAGGGCCUUAAUUGUUUUCCAUCUUUUGUUCAUAUGUUUGUUUUGAAAAGGUAAAACAAAUCCUCACCUAUUGAUGUUAGAACGGUUGAAUUGCUAAAAGCAUGCUGCAUGCAUAACCAUGCUUUAGGUUAGGCUUCAAAUUAAAUAAAUUUUAAAUUAUUUUUAUUUAAAUUUAAUUAUAAAAAUAAAUUAAUAUCAAUAGAAAAUUAUAUAAAAUUUUAAGAUAUUUUAUUUUUCAAUAAUAAAACGAAUCAUUCACCAAACCUAAUUCUUCAAUUUCUUUUUAAUUAGAUCACAACUCAAGCCAAGCUAACCAAUAAACACCCAAAAUCUACCAUCAUUUUCAUUUUCAUUUUUUUUUCUUUUGUGACAAAGUAGACAGAAGAUUCGGUUUGGAUAAGCUCUACGUUAUUAAGUCAAAAGCUGAAGUAAUUUUAAUCAUAAAUUGUUUUAUUUGUCUAUAAUGCAAAACAAUGACCCAGUUAGUACAAUAAAGCUUUAACUUUGUGGAACAUUUCAGUCCAAAAAAAAAAAAAAAAAGAAUUGUGGAAAUUUUAGAGCAGUUGACCAUUUCUUCGGAAUUAGUUUUCUCACUUCUUGUCCAUAUUCCAUGUAUAUUAUUUCAAGAAAUUAGGUUUAGAAAUUUGCAUAAUUCAACCAUUGAACUAAUAAAUAUUAAACAAAAAUUGGGUGGCAAAAAAAAUCUUAUUAAAAUCAUAUACUAUUACUAAAAUUUAUGAUUAAAUUAGUGUCACGAGUUAACGGGACAUUAACAAAUUAUAUUAUUUGAGGGUAUUUUAAUCUUUUUAUUAAAAAAGAUGAUGUCUCAAAUUAACUCACAAUCUAAUCUAAUUUUUCAUUUUAAUAUUGUAAAUAUUUCAUGUUUUAUUAUUAAUUUGUUUCAAAUUAUACAUUUCAUUAUUUAUUUUAUGUUAUUUUUAAACACAUCUGUAUUCUAAGUACCUAAUUUUCACUUAUGGGUAUCAGAGGCGAAUCUAGGGAGGCUGAUAGGGGUCUCGGUCCCCUUAAAAUAGAAAAUUAUUAUUUAAGCCAUUUAGAAAAUUUUAAAAUUUUAAAUUAGUAAAUGUAAAAUUACACUUUGACCCCUCUAAAAUUAUAAAAAUUUGAUUUAAUCCUUUAAAAAUUAUAAAGAUAUAAACUAUUAAAAAUAAAAAUUUCAUUUCGGCCCUGCCUAAAAAAUUUUUUUGACUUCACCCCUAAAGUAUGAUAGAGUUUCUAGUAUGAAUAAUUUUCUUUGGAAGUGUUAAACAAACAAAGGAGUUAAGUAAACAGUAGUUUUCAUACAGAAAUAUUCGGCGUUGAUGUUUCCCUUUCGAAUAAUUAAAUUAAGACUUAGGAAAAGGGAAAACAAUGAAAAAGAAACUAAAAUUGAGCUUAAUUUAUGGAGUUGGGUUAAAAUUUUAAUAUUUAAAUAUAAAAAUUCUAAUAAUUUGAUCUGGUCCGUUUCAUCUAGCAGACUAAUAAUAAAUCUUAAAACAUAUUAUAUUUUAAUUUAAAUAAAACCAAAACUAAUACACUUGACCUACAUCUACAUGUGAUCUAUGCUUCAUUUAAAUUAGUCUAAAUUAGACGAGAUCUUGAUUAGGAGUCAUUUAUUUAUAUUAUAAGUCCCUGAAACAUGCAAAACUUACAUUUAAAAAUUAAUAUUUUUACGUUGUUGUUAGAAUAUAGGGUUUGUUAAUGUUUUCGUGUGAAGUCAGCUGUUGACAUUACCAAUCAGAUAAUGAAAAGGAAACAUGGCAAUUAUUCCAUCCUAAUUGUCACCAAAUUAAGUUAAUCCAAAAAUUACCAAACGUUUAGUACUUCAAUGGUAGAGUCAGCUCUUUCUUCUAGUCUAUCAAAAAAAGUCAAUUUAACCCCUAACUCUUGGAUGGAAAAGUUUUUGCUAUGAACUUGUUGAAGUGAAUCUCAUGUGAUAUAAACGCAUCGCAAUCUCCGUGUGUAACUAAAAAUAUUUGAGAGAUUGAAUAAUUUAAAGGGGAAAAAAAAAGAAUUUACUCCCUCCACUAACAAAUUACUCUUGCCAACGUAUGUAUGAAAGUAAACACCUUUAAUUAAUCAACAAAUGCUAAAGUUCGAGGUUUAGAAUUAAUUAAAUACCAAUAUAAAUAGUUAAUUACUUUUUUGAAAUAAGGAUAAAUCAGUUUGUGAGGUUUGAAUUUUUUGUAUCUUAACAAUUGUUCUGACUUUAGAGUUUGAAGGUUUUUUUUUUAUCCAAAUUAACCUAUGAACUUAGUAAUUUGUCUCUCAUUAAGGUUUAAAUUUUUUAUUUAUCUAAGUUAAUUCUUAAAAAUCUUGAAAUUCGAGAAUAAUUGUCAAGUUAAAAAAAUUUAGAUUUCAAUAUGAGAAUAAUCUACUAGUUCGUAACCUUAAUAUAAAAACAAUUGUUAAGUUGAAAACUUAAUUUAAAAACAAAUUCAAACCCUUCUUAAGUUUACGAUUUAACCCUUUGAAAUAUUGCGUUAACUAGUAAGAGUAAGAAUUAUUUUGUGUUGAUGAUUAAAUAAAUAUUUAAGUGGAGAUCAAGUUUUACCUCAUUUGUCAAUUGUCAGGUGAAGAAUAUAUACCCCUAAAGGCCUAUCAAAAACGGACCUAUCUCUAUCUAUAUAUCUUAACUAAUUUACUAUUCAUUUUUAAUGAAAAUCAAUAAAUCAAUGAAAACGUUAUAAAAAGAAAACUACGUGAAUAAAUUAUAUGUGUAAAAUUGAAAUAUUUCUUAUUUUAGUACAAUGGUAAGGAACAUUACAUUUUUAAGGAAAUGAUGUCAGGUUCAAACCUUAAAGAUAAUAUUCUUCUUCUUGAGAAGAACAAUCCCAAACUCCAAAAUGAACCCUUAUGAAUUAUAUAAAAAAAUUUUGAAAUAUUUCUAUAAAAUAUCAUUAAAGUUUUUUAUUUAAAAAAUGUUAUGGGUAUACUUUUACCUCUUGUAAAAAAGUCUUUCAUUUCUCAAUUCUUAUGGCAUAGUAAAUUUAUCAUUAAUUUUCAUCUUUAGGUAAAAAAAAUGGUUAUUAUUUGUGUAUUAAAUAAUUGUUAGGAUAAAUUUUAAAAUUGUAUAUGAAUUUUGGUUUAAUGUUAAUUAUAUACAUUAAUUUUAAUUUUAUGUAAUUUUAUAAAUGAAAUUUUAAUUUGAUCCAAUUCUAACAAAUUAUUAACACAGUUAUUGAUAUAACAUCAUUUUAUGUUUAUAUGCUAUAUACAGAAAUAAUUAUGUUUAUUCAAUAUAAAAAUAAAUUGAUGUAUUUAUUUCUUUAAACAUAUAUGAUUGAAUCAAAAUUAAAACAUCGUGUAUAUAUUUGAACCACAAUUAAAAUUUUACAUAUAAAAUUACAUAAAAUUACAAUUUAUAUACGUAAUAAACUAAAAUUCAUAUAUAAUUUUAAGAUUUAUGUCCACAAUUCUCUAAAGCUAAACGGUGAUGAUUACCAUGGAAAUUCAAUGUACUUAACUAAUUGGUUGAUAGGAACAGGCAUGAUGAAAUCCAUGAUGGGAAGAGAGAGAAUUCAAAAACUGGAAUGCCCCCAUUAAUCCAUGCAAAUAAACUUUUUCGGUAUUACAUCAUAAUUCAUUUAAUUUUAUCAUCAUCUCUAUGCCAUAACCAUGUUUAAAGUAAAAUACUUAUAUAAAUUGAGACAUUAAUAGUUUGUAUUAUAUAAAUUAUGACAUCCAUAUAUCCAUAUUAUAAUUUUUAUGAAAAAUUAGAGCUGGCAGAUAAAAAAUGGCUUACUGAUCAAUGAAAAAUAAACUUUAUUUCUUGUAAAUUGACUUAUCCUUUUAAAAAGUAUAAAUAUUUUUUUAAAAUUCAUUUAUGAGUAAUUUUAUUAUUAUAAAAAUUAAUUUUGCAAAGUCUAAUAUUAUUAUAUUAAUAAUUUUAUUUUAAAACUAUUUAAAAAUACUAAUAUCAAAUAUUAUAAUGUUGAAUCCUAGUAACAUACAUAUUAAAUUAUUUAAAUUAUGUAAUAUUGCAAUUUUAUUUUAAUACUAAAUUUUAACAACAAUAAUUUUAAAUUUUAGAUCAUAUUUUUAAUAUAUUAUUGAAAAAUAUUUAUAUUAAUAUUUUAAUAAUAAAUAUAUAUAUUAAAAUUUAUAAAUAUUUAAUAAUAAAUGUUUUAUAGUAUAAAAUAUGAAUAUUUUAAUUAUAUAGAUAUGAGCAUUUGUUUAAAUCAUGUUUAGUUUCAUUUAUCUCCCAACUAUAAUGUGUUAUUAUACACCGUCAUAUAUAUAAUAUAUGUAAUUUAAGCAUUGUUUAUUAUUAAAUUUAUAUAUGAUAUUAAUUAUUAUAAAAUAUUAUCUUAUUAUAAAAGAAAUUCUAAUUAUCAAAAAGAAAUGUUACUUUAAUAUUUUGUAACAAGUAUAUUUAUGUUGGGCUUGUUUCAAUAAUAACUUUAAAAUGAUUUUAGAAAAAAAAUUGUCAAAUAAUAAAAAAAUAUUUUAAGCAAAAUAAUUCAAACACAAAAAACUAUCAACUUUUCCAUAAAAUCAAUCCAAUUUUAAGAAAACAUUUUGUGAAAAUUGUUUUAGGUAAAACAAAAGGAACCUAUAUUUUAUAUAGUAUUUGAAAAGUUGUUGUAUCUAGAAUUAUUAUCUUAAAUAUUUUUUUAGGUCUAAUUUUAAAUUUCAUCCCUUUAUGAAAAUUGAGAAGUUAAAUUUUCUAUUUUACUUUAUCAGUCUGUGCUUGAUUGUUUAUUAAUUUGUCGUGUAUAAAUGGUUAAAUUAUUGAUUUUUGUUAAUUACUAGCAUGUAAAUUGUCAAACUACUUGUUCUCAAGGGAACGGUAAAGUUUAAUAGUAUUAUCAAUUUAGAACAAUUUUUGAGUUUUUUCUUUUAUUUUUCAUGUUCGAGUCCAUAAUUACUCCUUCUAAUAAUGUCGUCUUUAAAGUUUGAGUUCGAAUUCAAAUUCUCUUUUUGGAAGUACAAUAUGCCUUAUAAUUAUACCUAAUACUUUUGAUUUUUGUAAAAUAUAAGAAUCAAAAUUGUGUAGUAGGAUUAAUUUCUAGAUUUUUUAAAUUUAAAAUUUAUAAUAUUAUCAAUCGCAUCACACACAAAACCAAAGAACAAGAGAAUCUAAAAAACACGUGGACCAUUAAUUUAGGAAUGGACAUUAUAUUUUAUUAGUGGAAUAAACUCAUGCAAAAUGGUUGGAAAACACAUACAGGAUUAUAUAUACUAAUCAUUUUUAUUAUUAAGCAGAAUCGGAAAUAAAUAAAUACGAGCGAAACCACUGAAUAAUACAGCAUUGAAAUGCAAUUUGUCUACAUCAUUAUUGUUCUUCACUUCAAACGCGGAGACUAGUCUAGGCUCCCAAUCUUUUGCUUUAUCUCUCUAGAUAUAUCCUUUUCAAACUAUCUUUUUGUAGCUUUAUUUGCAUCACAGCAUUAUCUUUUCCUGCAAACAACUGUUCAAUGAUUAAAACAUGCAAAACAUUCUGAAAUAAUGCACCCUUACCAGAUGACAAAAAAAAAAAAAGAUUCUAAUGUAUCUUACCUUGGAUUGGAGCACGGUCAAAGCCGUGGCUUAGUAGUGGUGAGGAGGAGGGGGUGAAGCGUAGACAUAAUGGGGUGGUGGUGGUGGAGGAGACUUGUAUUUGUAAACUGGAGGAGGAGGUGGUGGAGACUUGUACUUGUAAGGGUGCUUGGGGGGUGAUGGUGGGGGUGGUGGGGGUGACUUGUACUUGUAGGGGUGCUUGGGUGGUGACGGUGGGGGUGGGGACUUGUACUUGUAAGGAUGCUUGGGGGGUGAUGGUGGUGGUGGUGGAGGUGACUUGUACUUGUAGGGGUGCUUGGGUGGUGACGGUGGGGGUGGGGACUUGUACUUGUAAGGGUGCUUGGGUGGUGACGGUGGUGGUGGUGGGGGGGACUUGUACUUGUAGGGAUGCUUUGGUGGGGAUGGUGGUGGUGGUGGUGGGGACUUGUACUUGUAGGGAUGCUUAGGUGGUGAUGGUGGUGGUGGUGGAGACUUGUAUUUGUAAGGAUGCUUUGGUGGUGAUGGUGGUGGAGGUGGUGGGGACUUGUACUUGUAAGGGUGCUUGGGUGGUGAUGGAGGUGGAGGUGGUGGAGACUUAUACUUGUAAACUGGAGGUGGUGGGGGUGGAGACUUGUACUUGUAAGGGUGCUUGGGUGGUGACGGAGGUGGAGGUGGUGGAGACUUAUACUUGUAAACUGGAGGUGGUGGGGGUGGAGACUUGUACUUGUAAGGGUGCUUGGGUGGUGAUGGUGGGGGUGGGGGUGGCGACUUGUACUUGUAGGGGUGUUUAGGUGGUGAUGGUGGUGGUGGUGGUGGUGGUGGGGACUUGUACUUGUAAGGAUGCUUGGGUGGUGAUGGUGGUGGAGGAGACUUGUACUUGUAAGGAUGCUUGGGUGGUGAUGGUGGUGGAGGUGGUGGAGACUUAUACUUGUAAACAGGAGUUGGUGGGGGAGGAGAUUUGUACUUGUAAGGUUUCUUGUGUGGUGGUGGUGGUGGAGGAGAGUAGAUCGGAGGAG